CUUUCUUAUACUAACGGAUCUCACGAAGGUUAUGUUGAGUUUUGUGUGAUUCAAGUUUUCAAGUUUUGGGUUAUCUUACGAUGGAUGAAGGAAGGAUAGAAGAUCCUAAGCUUGGGGAUGCCCGGCAUCCCAAGCUAUUAUCCAAAAAUGAGCAACCAACUAAGCUUGGGGAUGCCCCCGAGUGGCAUCCCCUCUUUCUUCUAACGACCAUCGGUAUUUUACUCGAAGCUAUAUUUUUAUUCGUCGCAUACUAUGAGUUUUGCUUGGAGCGUCUUAUUGAUAUGAGUCUUUGCUUGUUUUUUUUUUGUUUUAAGUCUUGAUCCCUUUGCUGGACACACCUAUUUGGGAGAGCCAAAAUUAUGUCAUGACUUGUUAGAAUUGCUCUCUAUGCUUCACUUAAAUUUUUAUGAGCUAUGGACUUGCUCUCGUGCUUCACUUAUAUCUUUUUGAGCACGGUGUUCUUAGUAUUUUUUAAUAAAUGCUCUCUUGCUUCACAUAGAUUUAUUUGAGAGUUAGUCAAAAAUUUCAAGAAAAUUCUCUCUUGCUUCACUUAAAUUAUUUUGAGAGAAAGAAAGAAAAAUUAUGCUCAUGAUCUUCACUUAUAUUUGUUUGAGCUUAUGAAAAGCAACACAUGAAAAUUAGUCCCAAAGUGAUAAAUAUCCAAUAAUCAUAUAAUAAAAACUUUCAUGAAGAUCAUUGGACAAAACAAACUUGAUUCUUAGUAAUAGUUUUGAGAUAUGAUGAUGUGAUAUGUGAGUUAUGUUGAUGAGUAAUUAUGCUUUAGUAAGAAUAUUGGUGUUAAGGUUUGUGAUUCCCUAUGCAAACACGAAAGUCAAUAGUCAUGCAAUGAAAUUAUAUCCUACUUGUGGUGCAUUAUUCGGUGUUAUUUAUGCUUCAUGCUUGCUUAUGAGAUUAUCCGUUUCUUGGUUGGUCACUUCUCAAUCUUUUGCUAGCCUUCAUUUUGCACUAAGUAUGAUCUCUACUUGUGCAUCCAAAAACCUUUAAACCAGUUUUGCCACAUGAGUCCACUAUAUCUACCUAUAUGUGGUAUUCUUUUGCCGUUCUAAGCAAAUUUGCAUGUGCCAUCUCUAAUUUCAAAAUAAACUUCUCUUUUGUGUGUUCGUUUCGCUCGCGAAGCGGUGAGGGGUGGCUAAUAUUUUCCAUGCUAGAUGUGUUAUUCUCACGAUGAGUGUUUAUUCACUUGUCAUUGCACGAGAGUAAGGCAAAGGUAUUAGGGAUGCCCAGUCCUGAAAUGAAAAAUGAAUUUACUUUAUGUUGUCAAAUAAUAAAUUCCUUGGAAAGUGUUGGUAUGGAGGGCAACCGUGGAUACGGCUAGCCAUGGAAAGUGAAAGUAUGGUGGAAAAAGGAAUAAACUUUAUUUUCUGUUUGGGAACCGCCUAUGAUAUAUCUAGCAUGGAAAGUGUUGAGAACUCUUAAGUCGUUUUCAUUGGUGGGAUGGAUACACCUCCCAAAAUGUUUUUAUAUCUAAGUUUUUCACUUUGAGCUCUGGCACCUCUACAAAUCCCUACUUCCCUCUACGAAGGGCCUUUCAUUUACUUUAUGCAAUUUUUAUUUUGAAUUUGAGUCUACAUCUUCUCUUACAAAAGCACCAACUAGGAGGCAAUAUGAUCGUACUUAAGUAUUGGGUGUAACUAAUAUGCGAGUGUGUUUCAUGAAUGGAUCAAUGGUUGAGCAUGAUGGGCUAGGGAUAACUCAUUUUAGUGCUGAUAUUUUGAAAGACAUGGUUGCUUGUUGAUAUGCUUGAGUAUUUAAAUUAUCAUGUCAAAACUAGACUAUUGCUUUGAAUCACAUAAAAGUCCAAAUGUCCAUGCUAUAAAGAAAAGAAUAUGAUAUGACAUGUUAGGUGAGGGAGUUCUGGAUUAGGGGGUCCUCGGACAGCCGGACUAUAUCCUUUGGCCGGACUGUUGGACUAUGAAGAUACAAGAUUGAAGACUCUGUCCUGUGUCCGCAUGGGACUCUCCUUGGCGUGGAAGGCAAGCUUGGCAAUACGGAUAUGUAGAUCUCCUCCUUUGUAACCGACUUUGUGUAACCCUAGCCCCCUCCGGUGUCUAUAUAAACCGGAGGGUUUAGUCUGUAUGACAACAACAAUCAUACCAUGGGCUAGCUUCUAGGGUUUAGCCUCUAUGAUCUCGUGGUAGAUCAACUCUUGUAAUACUCAUAUCAUCAAGAUCAAUCAAGCAGGAAGUAGGGUAUUACCUCCGUCAAGAGGGCCUGAACCUAGGUAAACAUCGUGUCCCCCGCCUCCUGUUACGAUCCGCCUUAGACGCACAGUUCGGGACCCCCUACCCGAGAUCCGCCGGUUUUGACCGACAUUGGUGCUUUCAUUAAGAGUUCCACUGUGCCGUCAUCAUAAGGCUGGAUGGCUCGUCUCAUUGUCAAGGACAACAUCACCUCUGGGGGAGCCCUGGCUGUAGGCCAAACUCUCUGAUUAGGCGGUUUCGUCAUGAUCGCCCGUUCGGCCGUUGCGCCGACGAUGACUUCUCGGGUCAUCGAAAACAACCUCCACGUCGGCUCGGAAUUCGCCGAGCAGUUGGAUCCAAUGGAGCUCUCUUCCUUGAACGAGCUCUUGGGUCGCAUCGCCGCCUUGGGAGUCGCUACAGACUAUGACCAGAUCGGGCUUAAACCCGACCAAAGGGAGAUUAACUCCCCGCCGGUCACCCAUCAGAUAGCGGUGGUGGAGGAGCAAUGCAGCAAUUCCUCCUCUAUCUUGAGGACAAACUAUGUCUGGAUUCCCGAGCUCUCCGAGCCGGAUACCCGUCUACGGGAGGACAUGGCCCAAGCCUUGAACCUAGAAUCAGGCAGCGGGCCAGACCUAUUGGGCAACAUCCCGGAGCCUGAACUGCCAAGCUCGGAAACUCCUCCGCCCCUGGGUCUCAGAUCGGGUCAGGGUUCGGACCUAAAUCCACCAACCCACCCAGAUAUAAAUGAUCUUUCCCACAUUAGACAAGAGCCCCAAGAGACAGUACACCACUAUUGGGCCAGAUUCCUCCUUGUAAUAAGCAAGGUUAAGGACUGUCGCGAGGAAGACGCAAUUUCAUUCUUUUGCAAAAAUUGCACGGACAGGGGAAUCCUCAACGCCAUAAGUCGCCGUGACAUAGCACACUUCGCUGACUUGGCGGCCAUAGUACGGAAGUACUAUGCGAUGGAAAGCGCCUGGAAAAGCCAAACAAAAUUUUGGGAUCCUCUGGCUCUCACAAAACCCCCCGUCCGAACUAAAAGGGUGUAGUCUCGUAAGUCACCCGAUCCAAUUACAAAGAAACAAAAGCCCACUACAGGGCGCGGAACCGUAUUGGAGGGAUGGCUUAAUGGGCCAUGCAAAAUUCACAGUACAGCGGAUACCACGCCAACACAUAGCUUUAGAGCAUGUUGGGUACUCCGGCAGGUGGCCAAGAGCGGUGAGGAUCUCCUCAUCAACAAUACCGAAGAGCACCAUCCCGCGGAAAACAGCAAUACAGUAUUGACAGUCUUCGAGACCUUCACCUCAAAUAAUAGGCGUAAGCAAGCACUCCGCAGCCUUGCCGAAGUCUGCCACGUGGCAGUAAUAAAUCCAUGGAGUGAUACGGCUAUCACCUUCAAUGCCAGUGACGAACUUAAAUUCCGAACAGCCCGAGCACCAGCCACCUUGGUCCUUAGUCCAAUUGUGGACGGCUUCCGGCUUACUAAAGUGCUCAUGGACGGCGGCAGCGGAUUAAACCUCAUCUAUGAGGAGACUCUUCGAAAAAUGGAAAUAGACAAAAGCCGCAUUAGGCAAAGCAGCACGACCUUCAGAGGAAUCAUCCCUAGUCGGGAGGCACGAUGCGCUAGGAAAAUCACACUAGAUGUGGUAUUCGGCACGCCAGAGAAUUAUAGGUCCGAAGAAAUCACAAUCCAAGUGGCCCCGUUCCAUAGCGGAUACCACGCCCUUCUAGGGCGGGAGGCAUUCACGAUCUUCCAAGCUAUACCCCAUUACGGGUACAUGAAGCUCAAAAUGCCCGGGCCCAAUGGAAUCAUCACUCUAACUAGUGAUCCGGACAUAGCACUCCGCGCCGAAAAUAAAACAGCCGCACUGGCCCUCGAGGCAUUAUCCGAAGCCCUCGCGGCCGAAGAAUUAACUGCGCUACGCUCCAAAGUGGACAAGGACGACGUGAUACUCGACAAAAGAUCCAAAUCCACCUCUUUUAAACCGGCGGAUGAAAUAGUCAAAUUCCAAGUCCACCCAACGGACCCUACAAAAACAGCAUCCAUCGGGGCACAAUUAAACCCCACAGUGGACGCCGCACUACGGGAGUUCUUGCGCGAAAAUUGGGACAUCUUUGCCUGGCAUCCUUCAGACAUGCCAGGAAUCCCACACAGGCUGGCCGAGCAUAGCCUUAACAUUCUAAAGGGAUUCAAGCCGGUCAAGCAAACUCUUCGGCGCUUCUUUGAGCCUAAGAGACAAGCCAUGGGAGAGGAGCUAGCCAAGUUACUGGAGGCCGGAUUCAUUCGAGAAAUAAAACAUCCGGACUGGCUAGCAAACCUGGUGAUGGUACCAAAGAAGGACAAAUCCUGGCGCCUAUGUGUUGACUUCAAGGACCUUAACAAGGCUUGCCCCAAGGAUCCCUUCCCCCUCCCUCGCAUCGAUCAAAUUAUCGACGCUACCGUAGGACACGACUCAUUGUGUUUCCUCGACGCAUACUCCGGAUACCAUCAAAUUAAGAUGGCGGAGUCCGAUCAAGCCGCAAUGGCAUUUAUCACUCCAUACUGCCCCUUCUGUUUUAACACCAUGCCUUUCGGGCUCAAAAACGCCGGUGCAACCUAUCAACGCAUGAUUCAGACAUGCUUGUAGACACAGAUCGGCAAAACAGUGGAGGCAUACGUAGACGAUGUGGUCAUUAAAACCAGACACGUCGAAUCCUUAAUAGACGACUUGAGGCUCACGUUCGACAAUCUCCGAACAUACGACAUAAAGCUCAAUCCGGAAAAAUGCGUCUUCAGCGUGCCCGCCGGAAAGCUCUUAGGCUUCAUCGUAUCCAAUAGAGGAAUCGAAGCAAAUCUGGCCAAAAUCCGAGCUCUGUCACAGUUGGCCAUCCCAACAGACCUCAAGCAGAUCCAGAAAUUAACUGGAUGCGUGGCUGCUUUAAGCCGCUUUAUCUCCCGAUUAGGAGAAAAGGCACUGCCUCUUUAUCGCCUUCUUCGACGCACCGAACACUUCGAGUGGACGGAUGCGGCCACGACCGGAUUGGAAGAAAUAAAAGCCGUUUUGGCCACAAACCCAAUCUUGGCCGCGCCAAAUGUCGGCGAACCAAUGUUGUUAUAUAUAGCGGCAACACACCAAGUUGUAAGCGCAGUGCUCGUCGUCGAACGAGAGACGGACGGACAUAAGUUCCCGCUUCAAAAGCCGGUAUACUACGUAUCCACUGUCCUCACUCCAUGCAAAUCACGCUACCCAUAUUAUCAAAAGAUAGCAUACGCGGUCUUCAUGGCAUCCCGGAAACUAUGACACUACUUUCAAGAGUGUUCAAUUACGGUGGCCUCUGAAGUACCACUCAACGACAUAAUAAACAACCGCGAGUACUGGCUGAUUGCUAAAUGGGCUAUUGAGCUCCUCCCGUUCACAUAAUAUACAAACCACGGCGAGCCAUUAAGUCACAAGUACUGGCUGAUUUCGUCGCCGAAUGGACAGAAGCCGAACUCCCUAAAGAGUACGGCGUGUACUCCAAUUGGAUCAUGCACUUUGACGGCUCUAAAAUGCUUGCUGGUCUGGGGGCUGGCGUCGUCCUGACAUCCCCCACCGGAGAUACAGUCCAAUACGUACUCCAAAUACUAUACACAGACUCCAAUAACGCAGCAGAAUAUGAGGCCCUGUUACAUUGUCUCCGGAUGGCAGUCUCCAUGGGCAUUCAACGCCUGGAGGUGCGUGGGGACUCGAACCUCGCAAUAUCUCAAAUAAAUGGAGACUUCGAUGCCAAGGAUCCAAAAAUGGUGGCUUAUCGCAACGCCGUUCUCAAAAUGUCAGCUCAGUUCGAGGGGCUUGAAUUCCACCAUGUGGUCCGGGAAAACAAUCAGGCGGCGGAUAUCCUCGCCCGCAUCGGCGCUAAACGCGACCCUAUCCCACCUAAUAUCUUCUUAGAAAGGUUGUUUAAGCCAUCCGUGAUAUGGGAAGGAGAGACCGGUAACAAUAGUCCGGACCCGGCCACAACGCCAGACACCGAACACUCUGACGUAAUCGGAGGCUCUGCCACCGAAAUAACACCUUUGGCCCACAUGAUUAUGGCCGUCAUCGCCCCGUGGACAGAACCCUUCUUGGCUUAGCUAACUAGGCAGGAACUACCGGAGGACCCAAACGAGGCACGUUGCAUUGUGCGAUGGUCUAAAGCCUACAAGGUCCACGAGGGUGAGCUUUAUAAGAAAAGCGCUUCCGGAGUCCUUCAAAGGUGCAUCUCCGAAGAGGAAGGACGGCAACUUUUGGCAGAAAUUCAUGCAGGACUUGGCGGCCACCACGCCGCAGCUCGGGCCCUUGUAAGCAAGGCCUUCCGUACAGGUUUUUAUUGGCUGACAACCCGGGCAGACGCACAGGACCUCGUUCAACAUUGCGUCGGUUGCUAGCUUUUUGCAAACCAAAGCCAUAUGCCACCUACCGCUCUCCAAACAAUCCCCAUCACUUGGCCCUUUGCGGUCUGGGGGCUUGAUUUGGUCGGACCCCUUAAAGGGGGAAGCCAUAAGAAAAAAUACUAUUGGUCAUGGUGGACAAAUUCACCAAAUGGAUAGAAGCCAAACCAGUUAAAACGGCCGAAUCCGGACUAGUGAUAGACUUCAUAUCCGGGGUUGUACACCAUUAUGGCGUUCCCCACAGCAUCAUCACUGAUAACGGCACGAACUUUAGAGCCAACGAGGUAAAACUUUGGUGCAGCAAAAUGGGCAUCAAGCUCGAUUAUGCUUCUGUCUAUCACCCGCAAACUAACGGUCAAGUCGAGCGAGCAAAUGGUCUUAUCAUGAGCGGCAUUAAACCCAGAUUAGUGCGAUCCUUGAAGGAAUCAGAUACGCACUGGGUAGAGGAGCUCGACUCCCUACUAUGGGGGUUGCGGACCACGCUGAAUCGCACUACCGGAUACACACCGUUUUUAUGGUGUACGGCGCAGAGGCGGUACUACCCUGCGACAUAAUUCAUGACUCACCUCGAGUGCGCAUGUACGAAGAGAAAGAAGCCGAGCUUGAUCGGCAGGACAGUUUGGACGCCCUGGAGGAGGAGCGUGACGUGGCAAAAGCCCGUUCCGCAUUUUAUCAGCAACAGGCUCGAAGGUAUCAAAGCAGAGAAGUACGGGCCAAAACUUAUAACGUCGGCGAACUCGUUCUACGCCUACCAGAGAAGAAAAAGAACAAACUCAAGCCCAAAUGGGAAGGUCCCUUCGUUAUUGACCAAGUUCUGACCGGUGGAGCGUAUCGUCUGCGGGAUGCAUCGGACAAUCGAGUCGAGCCAAACCCAUGGAACGCAGCCAGACUCCAAAGGUUCUACGCCUAGUACCGGACACUAUGUUCGUCUCCUUACCUCCAUCAAUUUUUUAUAUACCCGUUAUCUGUCUUUUCUUUCUUUCUUUCUUCCCUUUUUCUUCAAGGCCUUCAAAGGCUAAAAUGUGUCUUGACUACAAAAUCAUGAUGCGCCAGCCGCGCUCAUUAUACCUGGGGGCUUCUUAUACUGAAGCUUAAUAUAACUAUUUUCCGGGCUCUAUGCCCCACACAUGUGUUAUUCUUCCACAUGUACCUUUUUUCGCCAUUAUAUGCAUCGAUAUGACUUAAGUUUUGGCCAAGCUGGGUUGCCUGGCUCUUGUGUUUAUGCCCUACGUUCCUGUUAAUUCGGCUAGGGCAUAAGGGGAGCACCUCUGCGAUUGUUACUGCCGGGUCAGCCGGAUGUGUACCUCAGACUGGGUGAAGCCGAAAGCUAGCGUUCUUAAGGGAAUAUUCGGUCAGUGAACAAAAGAUGACCUUUAUUUAUUCUAAUACAUGCCCCCCAGAUGUUUAUAUCCUGCGUCUCUUUUCGCAGUUCGGACAUGCACAUUAAUGCAUGCGUACCCAGGGAAAGGAACCCUUAACAGAACUAUUCUCCCUGGAAGAUGUUUCUUACUAUCCAUGUAAUAUAACAUAGCUAGUUGGGUACUUGUCUGUUCAAGCACUUAUGACCCCUACGCCUGGUUUCCACGCGUACCCCGGUUUUUACAUAACUGAGCGGGUAUUCGGAUACACUCCGGACUGUCGGGUCCAGAGGUCGAAACGAAAAGGUCCGCCAUGACAAAUGAUUUACAAUCCGGCUAGGGACAAUACAUGUCACUUGAAGUACACAGUCACUUAGACUGACUAAAUUCUUCUUCUAUACCAUCCAACAGGCUGUCUAGCCUACAAUCCUGUUAGGAAUACUUUGCGGCUAAUUCUACUUAGUCAUACACAAAACUGGCGGGGAUCUCUUUCCCAUCGGACCCCACAGGUCCGACCUCGGCCAUGUGGUUCGGGUCAGCCUUGGUAUAUCGCGUCUUCACCAUGGCCCAGGCUUCCCUUGCACCUUGUCGACAAGCUGAUAUCUACCAUAAUCGGAAGCGCCGCCGCUCCCCCUUGAGCUUCUCUACAAGCUCCCCCAUGCCUCUUGGCAGGGAGGCGGAUGGCCACAAGGCUUGGGCUAUGCCCUGCAUCACCUGCCGAACUUGUUCGUGCAGUUGUGAGAGCUCUGGCAGAAGAUCACCCGCAGACCCGGGCAUCUCCUCCACGGGACGACCCAUCAGCAUACCUGCAGACAUAACUCUGUUAGCCGGUUUCUUCGCCGAACUCUUUAAAAGUUCGUUCAAGCACUUACUGAAAAUGCCGCGUCGAAGCCUCUUAUUCUCCUUUACGGAGUCAGCAAGCUGGGCUCAAACAUCUUUCAAUUCAACGCCCAGCCGGGUAUUGGCGUCUUGGAGAUGUUUUUUCUCCCGCCUAACCCGUGUAAGCAUGCGCUCGCCAGCCUUUAGCUGUCGUUGAGCAUGUUGCCCAUCCCCUCGCACGACCUCCGGAUUCACUCCGGAGUCAUCUGCAGAAUCUAUUGUUAGAUUUGCAUGCAUGCCGCAUACUACCUGGUACAUGCCAUUCUUUGCAAUAGAAAUAAGUGUUACCAGAUGGGGCCUUCUCGGACUCCUUCACCACGGCAACUGCGGCCUGAAGCUGGGCUUUGCACUCCUCCAACUCUUGAGACAACCGGGUAUUUUCUCCGUAAGAACCUAUGCAAACAAUGAUCCUUAAAUCAGUUGUGCCAACUGUUUCAAGUCUCAGGGGCUACUGAUAUACAUAAUUAUUAGAUUUUCUUACCCGUAUAUCCUUUACAUACUGGUCCGUGGCUCUGGCAAGACCAUUUUGAGCAGCUCGGAUGUACGCGUCUCCUGAGUUAAAGGCAUUGAACGCCUCUUGGGAGAAACAAGCGUCGCGUAGUACGGCCCGGCGACGCCUGUGAUUCAUGGCACUCUCCACUUUGGAAUUCGUAGCGGACAGCCUAUCCGCAUCCUCUGUAGGAGGAACAUCCGGCGUUGGCCCAAUGUUAGCAUCCGCCUCUAAGUCCGGCUCUGGAGCCCGGUUGGUGGAGGCGUGGCCGGCAACCUCUCUGGAUAUAGUCCGGCGAGCGUUUUUCCUACUAGGAAACAUGGACGUUAUUAUAUUUUAAAAGACGACAACCAUGGAGCGGGGUUCUUUUUCAUACCUCCGCGACGGCGUCCCAGUCCUGACCGCCUUCCUUUUAAGCCUACCCGGCUUCGGUGCCCCUUGUUGGUGAGUCACUGUGGGUUCGGCAUGGCGUCCCGACGGCCUUCCCUGUAAGACACCAUAUGUGUGCGGAAGGUGAAGUGCAGAAAAAGGGAUCCUUCUCGAAAGUUGGGACUCCAGUUUUACUUACAUGCGAUGCAGGGAGCAGUCCAGGAUAAUCGACUAUGAUGGACACCAUGGCAUCGUCGCAGCUCAAUUGAUAGAAUAUCCUGUCAAUAAGCUCCACAAAUGUGUCCGGAUCUUCUUCGAGUCCGGGGUCGAGGGCCCGGUCAGGGUCCUCUGGUUGUGGAGGCGGGUUGUGGACCUCCCUCACAGCUUUUCCCAGUUCCUGCUAUGAAAUAGCAAGGUAAAUAUUUAUGACAAAGAAUGCGGGAAGGUCUGGAGUAAAAAGUAGCAGCUCACCCAGUUUGGGGGGUUGUACAUGGAGAAUCCAUCCCGUGGCUUGAUACGGAUGAACUCCUCUUCCUCUCCUUUAUAUAAAUCAGACAGUAUUUUCGCUAGAGCAGCGAUGGAGUCCGGACCUUUACGACCGCAGCGGGUGGCAUCAUCUUCUCCAUUGAAGUGCCACAUGGGUUGUCCCCGAUAUUGAAGUGGCUGCACCCCCCGCAUUAUACAUAUUGACAUAACCUCGAUUAUUGUCAAUCCUGAUUUGGCCAGCGUUUGUAUCUGGCCAUUAGGUAAAGGACAUCUCUGUUAUCUUCCUCCUAGGGGCUCCGAGGGCGCCAGCUGCGGCAUUUCUUCAAAGGGGCGUUAUUGAACUCAGGAAGGCCCAUCCGAACAGGGUCCGGAAGGGGGACGUCCUCCAUAUAAAACCACUCCGAAGGCCAGUCUUCGGAUGUCUUCUUCGGAGUACCGGACAGGUAUCCGGUCCCGGCGAUGCGCCAUAUCUCGGCUCCGCCCACUUGAUAUAUCGACCCCUCCUGUGUACGGUGUACGAGGCAGAAUAGCCUCUUCCAUAGCUCGAAAUGAGCUUCACAGCCCAAAAACAGCUCGCAAAGGGCGACAUAGCCUGCGAUGUAUAAUAUGGAGGCAGGAGUAAAAUUAUGCAGCUGGAGGCCGUAGACCUCCAGGAGCCCGCGGAGGAAUGGAUGGAUUGGAAAUCCAAGUCCCCUUAACAAAUACGGGACAAGGCAUACCCGCUCCCCCAUAGACGGGUUGGGAAAGCUCUUCGCUUGUUCCCCGCCAUUGUAAGUGGCUACUCCAGCUCGGACGGGGGCCAUAUGCGCAGGAGGAAGAAACCCCUAGGACUGUAACUCUACUAACUGUCUGUGGGAAACGGAACACUUCUUCCAGUUGCCUGGCUUAGGGCUACGGAAGCGAGAGGAGGAGCUGCGACGACCGGCCAUGAUAGGAUGGAUUUUUUCGGGCACGCUCCAAUGGAUACUCGCUGAGGGAGGAUGGUGUGAUCUGGAUCUGAGGAUCCCCGGUCCCUUAAAUAGACGAUUUACUCACAUGGUUAGGGUGGCAAGUGCAAAAAUGCCCCGACUUCUCGCAUUCGCUCGACACGUGGAGGAUAGCCAUUAUUAGGCACAGAAGCCGAAGAAUGCAACAUUUGCAGGAAGCCGGACACUACUCGGCAGGUACUCAGAAUUUGGGGAAGAACCCGCCUUGCAAUGCCGAAGACAAUCUGCGCGCCGGACUCAUCGUCAUUGAAGCCUGGUUCGGGGGCUACUGAGGGAGUCCUGGAUUAGGGGGUCCUCGGACAGCCGGACUAUAUCCUUUGGCCGGACUGUUGGACUAUGAAGAUACAAGAUUGAAGACUCUGUCCCGUGUCCGCAUGGGACUCUCCUUCGCGUGGAAGGCAAGCUUGGCAAUACGGAUAUGUAGAUCUCCUCCUUUGUAAACGACUUUGUGUAACCCUAGCCCCCUCCGGUGUCUAUAUAAACCGGAGGGUUUAGUCCGUAGGACAACAACAAUCAUACCAUAGGCUAGCUUCUAGGCUUUAGCCUCUACGAUCUCGUGGUAGAUCAACUCUUGUAAUACUCAUAUCAUCAAGAUCAAUCAAGCAGGAAGUAGGGUAUUACCUCCAUCGAGAGGGCCCAAACCUGGGUAAACAUCGUGUCCCCCGCCUCUUGUUACCAUCCGCCUUAGAUGCACAGUUCGGGACCCCCUACGCGAGAUCCGCCGGUUUUGACACCGACAUUAGGCAGCAUUCCACAUAAAAAAAUUGUUUUUAUCACUUACCUACUCGAGGACGAGUAGGAGUUAAGCUUGGGGAUGCUAAUACGUCUCCAACGUAUCUAUAAUGUUUAAUUAAUCCAUGUUGUUAUAUUAUCAAUCUUAGAUGUUUUAUAAUCAUUUUAUAGUCAUUUUAUAUCAUUUUUGGUACUAACCUAUUAGCAUAGUGCAAAGUGCUAGUUGCUUUUUCUGCAUGUUUUUUACAUCGCAGGAAAUCAAUAUCAACGAAACUUCACGGAUAUUUCUUAUGGACCAGAAGACACGUAAUGGGCCCUGGCUGUGCCUGGGGGUGCUCUGAGGAGAGCACAACCCACCAGGGCGCCCCAGGAAGCCCAGGCGUGCCCUGGUGGGUUGUGCCCACCUCGGGUGCCCCCGGACUGAAGGAAAUAUCACUAGUAGAAAAAGGGCCUUUAGUCCCGGUUCAUAAGGGCCUUUAGUCCCGGUUCAUAAGGGCCUUUAGUCCCGGUUCUGGAACCGGGACUAAAGGGUCGUUACUAAAGCCUCCCCCUUUAGUCCCGGUUCUUACACGAACCGGGACUAAAGGCCCUCCACGUGGCCGCUGCCUGGAGGUCCACCUUUAGUCCCGGUUGGUAACACCAACCGGGUACUAAAGGAAAUUUUAUGAUUUUUUUUUUGAAAUUUUUUUUUGAUUUUGUUUUUGAUUUUGAAAUUUCUGAAUUAUUUUAGCCUCUAAUCUCUAAUCACCCCUCAUCACUGCUCAAUUUAACCUCUAAUCUCUAAUCACCCCUCAUCAUUCCAAAUCAUCUAACUUCCCGGACGGUCACCCAUCCUCUCACUACUCCAGCCUGAGCACGCUUAACUUCCGGGUUCUAUUCUCCCUCGUUUCCAAGUCUGCACUUGUUGUUUUCCUGACAAUAGUAAGAUGUCAAUCCUAUUAACCCUCGGGAAUUUAGCUUGAGCAUGAAGUCACACAUUUCACUGUUUGAGUUUGAAACUAUUGUUCUAAAAAAAAUUAUUUAGUAACACUAAUAUUUCUUGAAUAAGUAGUUUGACCAUAGUUUGACCACAGUUUGACCAGAUUUGACCAAAAUUCAAAAAAACUGAAAUAAUUAUUUAGCAACACUAAUAUUUCUUGAAUAAUUAGUUUACCAUUGUUUGACCACAGUUUGACCAGAUUUGACCAAAAUUCAAAAAAACUGAAAUAAUUAUUUAGUAACACUAAUAUUCUUGAAUAAUUAUUUAGUAACACUAAUACUUCUUGAAUAAGUAGUUUGACCAUAGUUUGACCAGAUUUAACAAAAAUUCAAAAAAAACUGAAAUUUGAGCAUAACUUUUUUCCUUUUAGAAUUUGAGGAUUCUAAAAAUUUGCAAACAGGCCGUAGGCUGUCAAAAUCGGAUGCGGAUUUUCAUGCUGAACAUUUUGAAAUAUUAUACGUUUUUUCUGACAUCGUAUGCAAAAGUUAUAACCGUUUACAUUUUCCCUACACUUUUUGCAAAACAUGUCCAAAUUUAAGUUUUUAAAUUUUCCUAACUAGUACAUGUAGCAACAUAACUACAUCUGGAAGGAUUUUAAUUUUUGAAGUUUUUAUCAUUUUCUUUUGCUUUUUACAAAACUGAAAAGGCGAUCCACAGGGGGGGUAGAGUUUGAAAAUGGGACCUUUAGUACCGGUUCGUGCCAUGAACCGGUACUAAUGCCUCAAACCCCAUUAGUACCGGUUGGUGGCUCGAACCGGGACUAAAGGUCUAACCUUUAGUACCGGUUGGUGCCACGAACCGGUACUAAUGGGCAUCGCACCCUUUAGUCCCGGUUCGUGGCACCAACUGGGACUAAAGGUCCCAUUUGAACCGGGACUAAUGCCUGUACGGUGCCCUAGCCGCUCGAACCGGGACUAAUGCUCACAUUAGUCCCGGUUCGUAAUGCAACCGGGUUUAAUGCUCUUUUCUGGCCGAACCAAAGCCCUGUUUUCUACUAAUGUAUGCCCUAGAGGAAAUAAUAAAGUUGUUAUUUAUAUUUCCUUAUAUCAUGAUAAAUGUUUAUUAUUCAUGCUAGAAUUGUAUUAACCGGAAACUUAGUACAUGUGUGAAUACAAAGACAAACAGAGUGUCACUAGUAUACCUCUACUUGCCUAGCUCGUUAAUCAAAGAUGGUUAAGUUUCCUAGCUAUAGACAUGAGUUGUCAUUUGAUUAACGGGAUCACAUCAUUAGAGCAUGAUAUGAUUGACAAGACCCAUCCGUUAGCUUAGCACAAUGAUCAUUUUAGUUUGUUGCUAUUGCUUUCUUCAUGACUUAUACAUGUUCCUAUGACUAUGAGAUUAUGCAACUCCCGAAUACCGGAGGAACACUUAGUGUGCUAUCAAAAGUCACAACAUAACUGGGUGAUUAUAAAGAUGCUCUACAGGUGUCUCCAAUGGUGUUUGUUGAGUUGGCGUAGAUCGAGAUUAGGAUUUGUCACUCCGAUUGUCGGAGAGGUAUCUCUGGGCCCUCUCGGUAAUGCACAUCACUAUAAGCCUUGCAAGCAAUGUGACUAAUGAGUUAGUUGCGGUAUGAUGCAUUACGGAAUGAGUAAAAUGACUUGCCGAUAACGAGAUUGAACUAAGUAUUGAGAUACCGACGAUCGAAUCUCGGGCAAGUAACAUAUCGAUGACAAAGGGAACAACGUAUGUUGUUAUGCGGUUUGACCGAUAAAGAUCUUUGUAGAAUAUGUGGGAUCCAAUAUGAGCAUCCAGGUUCCGCUAUUGGUUAUUGACGGAGAUGAGUCUCGGUCAUGUCUACAUAGUUCUCGAACCCGUAGGGUCCGCACGCUUAACGUUCGGUGACGAUCGGUACUAUGAGUUUAUGUGUUUUGAUGUACCGAAGGUUGUUCGGAGUCCCGGAUGUGAUCACGGACAUGACGAGGAGUCUCGAAAUGGUCGAGACAUAAAGAUCGAUAUAUUGGAAGGCUAUGUUUGGACACCGAAAUGGUUCCGAAUGAGUUCGGGCAUUUUCCGGAGUACCGGGAGGUUGCUGGAACCCCCCGGGGAGUCAAUGGGCCUUAUUGGGCCUUAGUGGAAGAGAGGAGGAGGCGGCCAGGUGGAGGGCGCGCCCACCCUAGGCCCAAUCCGAAUUGGGGUGGGGGUCGGCCCCCCUUUCCUUCUCUCCCUCUCCCUCUUUCUUCUUCUCCUACUCCAACUAGGAAGGGGGGAAACCUACUCCUACUGGGAGUAGGACUCCCCCCCUUGGGCGCGCCCUAUGAGGGUCGGCCCUCUCCUCCUCCCCUCCUUGAUAUACGGGGAGGAGGGCACCCCAUAGGCACACAAGUUGACAGUUGUCUUAGCCGUGUGCGGUACCCCCCUCCACAGAUUUCCACCUAGGUCAUAUCGUUGUAGUGCUUAGGCGAAGCCCUGCGUCGGUAACUUCAUCAUCACCAUUAUCAUGCCGUCGUGCUGACGAAACUCUCCCUCGGCAUCUGUUGGAUCAAGAGUACGAGGACGACACCGAGCUAAACGUGUGCAGAUCGCGGAGUUGCCAUGCGUUCGGUACUUGAUCGGUUGGAUCGCGAAGACGUUCGACUACAUCAACCGCGUUACUUAACGCUUCUGCUUUCGGUCUAUGAGGGUACGUGGACACACUCUCCUGCUCGUUUCUAUGCAUCACCUAGAUGGAUCUUGCGUGUGUGUAGGAAAUUUUUUGAAAUUACUGUGUUCCCCAACAGUGGCAUCCGAGCCAGGUUUAUGCGUAGAUUUUAUAUGCACGAGUAAAACACAAAGAGUUGUGGGAGAUAAUUGUCGGCGUUCUGGGAACGGGGGUCCCCAGACUUGCCUGCCUGCGGCCCACGGCGUGGCUGUGCUAGCAGGCCAUACGGCCCAUCUUCAUCAGCAAGCCGUUCAAGACCCUCGCGAGGGGCCAAGCCUCGUGGGGCAGACGACGCAAGACCUCCUCCGGAGCGGCCUCUCCAGGCAGGCUCACAAGGAGCGGAGAUAUCAAGGCGGGGGAAACCUCGCGACGCUCGCGUGACGUGAGCCAUGACGAUCGACACUAGGCGAGCGCCAGGUGGGCGCCAGCGCGCGCAGCAUCCUUGUUUCCUCUUUGGUGCUAAGGAGGCUGGCGCAGGCGCGGAGUACCGAGGCAUCAAGCAAAGGUUUCCAUAUCGGUGCAAUGAGACCGAAGACCAGCAGGACAACAAGACGGAGGUCACCAUGGAGCCCAAGACGGCGUCACCACCAGAGCCUUUCGCAGGCGAAGACCACUUUUGUCAGGAUAGCUUGUACUAGCUGUCCCCCUUCAAAAUUGCCCACCGUUCUUGGCUCCCUUCCCGCUCAAUAUUCGGGGAGAGGACCAGGGCCUAUAUAAGUAGAACUAGCCACCAUAGUAGAGGCAUCGGAUCAGAUCCAGAGCCAACCCCUAGCCUCACACCAAACACAAGAACACCUCAACCUCAGGAGGUUGUUCUUCCCCUUGUACUGGUCAUCAUCAGCUCAAGAGGCAAUCCACCACCACCACACUCGAGUAGGGUAGUACACCGCAAUGGUGCCCCGAACUAGUAUAAACCAUGUGUCUUUUUGUGUUGCGAGUUCGUCGAGUUCGUCCGCGAGAUCUUAGCGAGCUAGGGCGUAGAUUGGUAGGAGGGAAAGAACUUCGCGCGCACCCCAGAGUUUGAACCUUAAGGAUUUUGCUGGAACCCCAGAUCCGACAUUUGGCCCGCCAGGUAGGGGGCACCGUAGCUUCCCUUCCGUCGAUCGGCGCUCCGUCGCUCCAUCGUUUCCAUGGCAGACGCUCGCCGCGCUCAAGCUGAGCGUCGGGCUGCCCUCACCACCCGCGUUGCUCAGACGGCUCCCGUCGGCGGGCCACCUCGUCGUUCUCCGUCUCCUGCCGCCAACGCCGCCACUGGCCCGGCGGGGAACGAGCAGCAAGCGUCCUCGCUGCACCCAUCGGUGCGGCAGGACGGCCGCACCGCCACUCCAUCGCUGACCCCGGCCAGUUCUUCGUCCCAUGCACGUCGCGCUCCCAUGGACGCACGGGCCGCGCUCCUCAUGGCGAACGAGCUCCUGCACUACCGUCUGGUCGACGACCUCUACGAGGACUGGCUCGACCGCGUCGCCGAGCUCGUCCGCACCGCAGGGGGCUCCCCAGCGCCGUCCCUCUCUCUGCCUCACCCUCCGCCAGCCACGGGCGAUGUGGCUCAUGGAGCGCCUCCACCACCUCUGCCCCAAGACUGUGCCUUGGCGCCAAGGUGCACGGCCCCAAGGCGCGAUCCACCAUGCCCGGUGCCCGCGCGCGAAGAGAUAAGCUGCCAAGAAAUUCCUCGGCCAUGAGGAGCGGCACCUGCGCUCCCUGCGCCGCCUCGCCAAGACCGCGCGCUGCCUACGGUGGCGGCGCGCGGACCUCAUCAAGACCAAGCUCCACCACUGAGAUGGGCCCCGGCGACCAUGGCCAGCUGUCGCGCCUUCACCCCCGAGCUGCGUAGCGUCGCCUGGCCAGGCAAGUUCAAGCCAGAUCUGCCCCCUCGCUACGUCGGCACCGCCGACCCCGUGGAGUUCCUGCAGCUCUACGAGCUAAGCAUCGAAGCAGCCAACGGCGAUGAGAAAGUCAUGGCGAACUGGUUUCCUAUGGCCCUCAAGGAUGGUGCCCGCUCCUGGCUCUUGAACCUGCCGCAGGGCUCGAUCUCCUCCUGAGACGAGAUGCGCGACCGCUUCGUCGCCAACUUCCAGGGCACCCGCGACCGCCCGCCGGCCGCAGGCGACCUGCGCCGCAUCAAGCAACAACCAGGAGAGACCCUCCAGAAGUACAUCCAGCGCUUCAACAACACUCGUCUCAAGAUCCCCAAGGUCACGGAUGAGGCCAUCAUCUCCGCGUUCUCCGAUGGCGUCCGCGACAUCAAGAUGAAGGAAGAGCUUGCUAUCCAUGAGGAGCUGUGCACAUCUCAGGAGCUGUUCAACCUAGCAACCAAGUGCGCAAGAGCUGAGGAGGGGUGCCUUUCCCUCCUUGAGCUGUCAGCUACGGGUGUAGAGGAGAAGAAGGCUAAGGCCAAGGACGUGAAGCGCAAGGAAGCAGCUGUGCUCGCAGCGGAGCCCGACACCAAGCGAGGCAGAGAUCAGCCCGUGUCAUCCAAGAACAGUCGGCCGUUCUGCGCCUUCCACAACCUAAACACCCACAAAACCAGUGACUGUCAAGAGCUCAGAGCCAUUCGCGAUGGACGCUAUGGUCGACGCCCCGAACGCAGCGACCGGGGCUACGGCCGAGGAGGAGGACGUGGUGGCGGACGCUAGGACGACCGUGGCCUGCGCCAGGAGUGGCGCGACCGGCCUCGUGAGGACCACUGGCAGGAUCAUCCUCGCGAGGGUGCCUGGAGAGACCAGCCUCGUGAGGAUCGCCCCCAGGGCAACGCCGGUCUUCCCCCGCUGCCGCCACCGCCAAGAAGGAACGACGGCCACCAUCUAGACGAGGGGGCUGGGGGCUUCCAGGAGCCGCGUGCUAUCGCUUGCAUCUUGGGCGGAGCCCAGGCCCCAGCCUCGCAGCGUAUCUUCAAGCAGUUUGCUCGUGAAGUGAAUGCAGUCCUCCCCAAGCUCGAGGCCACACGCCCACUCAGAUGGUCCCAGUGCCCCAUCACGUUCAGCUCGGCGGAUCAGCUCAAGUGCGCGGCUACUGCUGGCGCCCUCCCGAUGCUUUGCUCACCAGUCAUCAGCAACGUGCAAGUCACCAAGACCCUCAUCGACGGCAGCGUAGGGCUCAACGUCAUGUCCGUCGAUAUGUUCGACAACCUCCAAGUCCCAUAUGACCAGCUUCAUCCUACCACGCCCUUCUCAGGAGUGACUGAUGGUUCCACCACACCGAUAGGGCAGGUCUGCCUCCCUGUCACCUUCGGGGAACGCAAGAAUUACAGCACCGAGCUCAUCGACUUCGACGUCGCGCACAUCCGUCUGUCAUACAACGCCAUCCUUGGGUAUCCAGCCCUAGCCAAGUUCAUGGCCGUCACCCACCACGGCUACAACGUCCUCAAGAUGCCGGGAAGCGGCGGAAUCAUCACGGUCCCAUGUGAAGAGAGAGAUGUAGUGUGCUCCCUCGAGCGCGCCUUCCAAGCUGCAGCAAUCGAUGACCCCGACAGCAAAAGUGAGGGACCUCCAGAGGCCAUCCCCAAGAAGAAUCAGCUGCGCCGAGCCGGACCUUAGGAGGGUGGCGUCGCGGCUGGAACCUCGUCAGGAUCAGCGCCCGCUCCAGGGGAGCCUCCCUCCAUCGCAUAGGAAGGCGCGCCCGGUGCCCUCCUCGGGUAGGGCUUGGGGGCUCUCUUCUGGAGGGCCUCAAACCUUGCCAACAUCACGAGGGAGGCGCUUGGGCACCACUUGGAGGCGUGCUUUGCGGCACGUUUCCCUCAGGAGAACACGGGGCAAGGAGCGCCCACCGCUCAGGAGUUCAUCACCAAGACCACUCAGGAAUUGCAAGACGCAAGGGCCAUGCACGGCGACCGCCGCUCAUGAGGCACAGCUCCCCAUCCAGACGAGGAUGACGGGCUGCGCGUCUGCAUCGACGUUCCAGGGCUCAACAGGGCCGCUUCUCAGGAGCUCUUCUAGCCUUCGCGCGCGGGGAGCUGCAAGGGUCCACCGCACAGCUACAUUCGCAUGCCCUUUGGCCUGCCGAGCGUGUCGUCAGCCUAUCAGCGCAACAUGCAGCGUAUCCUGGCGGCUCGGGAGGCCAGGCACCACGCCGUCUUGGCGGAGAUGGAGACGGUCCUCUAGGAACCACCUGAGUCCUCAGAGCCUCCCGAUGCUCAAGGCCCCGGUGGCUCAUGAGGAGCUACCCCUUCGUGCACGCCUUCAGCUGCCUCAACUCUCCUUCGUCGACAGAACCAGGUGACAUUUUCCAAGUUCAUUUAGCUGGGAGCGCCCCUCGGGCUGCAUUAUUCCCAGGCCGUGUGGGUCCGUCCCUGUGGCGUGUAUCCUUUUCUUAUGUCUUUAGCUUACCUUGCUGGGGGCGCCCCUCGGGCUGCAUCAUCCCCAAGCUGCUCGGGCCUGACCCAGUGGCAUGUAUCUUCCUACAUUUACCCAAGCCGAUUUGCCUUCCAUGCUUAAUCUGCCCGAUUACUGCCUGCCACGGGUCCACCCCUCUAUCAUGCAAUUCGCUUGCGCAUUAAAAGGGGGGCUCCUGAGCAUCGCGACUCAGGAGCUCUUACUGGCUCUCCAGCCCUCACCCCCUAGCCUUGACCACGGCAUCGCGACCUGGCAUACCAGCGGCAGCUGAGCUCACUCGAGGGCCGGGACCUGAGGACAUAGAGCGCUUGCACCUAACUAUCUCGCAGGAACGCACAGCUAUCAAAGACUCAAGACCAGGCGCAACCCGCCUUGAGGUAGGGCCUCGUGAGUCCUGCGCUGGCUCACGAGUGCCCAGAUACACCUCGCAGCCCUGAUGUGCAAGCCACGUGUCAGGGCGGGGUUGUACACGCCCCGAGGGCUCCUCCUGGAGGGGGGGGGGCCCUCCCAUGCACAAGUGGAAGCACCAUGCUCCGCGCUGGCCGUCGACACUACCGAGGAGCGGCUAUGCCUGUGCACAAGCGGAAGCACUAUGCUCCGCGCUGGCGAUAAACAACUGAGGGCAGCUCCAAGGUCGUACCAACCUCAGGGAGUCCCAGAGCUCAGCGUCCGGCCUCACCGCAAUGCCUCCCCUCGGGAGAGCCACGCGAGGGGGCUGGACACGGGGGCUGCGCUCGGGUCACGCCCAAGCGUACACCAUCCAACCAGGUCUCCCGGGCCUGGGGGCUGCGCUCGGGUCACGCCUAAGCGCACGCUGCUCAAACAGGUCUCCCGGACCUGGUCGUCGCACGCCCCUCCCGAGGCCUCGGCGAGGGUAGGUAUGGAAAUUAUUUGCGCAUCAAGGGGGACUCCUGAGCAUCGCGACUCAGGAGCCUAACUAGUCACGUAGCCCCUCACUCCUUGGUCCGUCCUGGUCUCCGGUCGGCCCAAUGGCGGUUGAGGUAUUUGCGGGGCCGGGCUCUGCCGAUGUAGAACAUUAAUCUAUCCUCGCGUACUCUUCCUGUAAGCUAUUUGUGCAUCAAGGGGGACUCCUGAGCAUCGCGACUCAGGAGCCUAACUGGUCACGUAGCCCCUCAUUCCUUGGUCCGUCCUGGUCUCCGGUCGGCCCAACGGCGGUUGAGGUAUGCGCGGGGCUGGGCUCUGCCGAUGCAGAACACAAAGUGAAUAGGAAGAAAAUCGCAAAAUCUCGAAGCAAAUAUUACAAAACAUAUUGUCCUCAGAAUAUCAAAGGAAAGUUUAACGCCUCCACGAGGCCUGAUGCGUAUUACAGGAAUGAAACUGGAGAGUAGCUGCAGGUCACCCCUGGACGCCGUCAUCGCCUGCGGAAGGUGCUCCUCCCCGGGUAACGUCGCCUUCACCUGCACCACCUGCUGCAGGAUCUGCGGCGUUGCCGGACAAGGGUGCGGAGGCAAAGCCGUGGAACUUCUUCAGCAGGGCCUCCACCUGGCCUUGCACGGUUGCGGCGGCAGCUGCGCAGUGAACAUCAGCCACAGGCUCUAGCAGCUCGCCAAGACAAGCGCUGGGGUCGCGAAGGUGCAGAUGGCCGAAGACACGAGUCAAUGCAGCUGAAGACAGGACGCGAGCUUCUGCCUCUGCCAUGGGACCGAUACCAUCCACGACUUCCUCAAGCGGUUUCACCAAGAGAGGAAGCAGCCGGGCGGGGCUGUCCUCAUCGGUGGUCAGCGGCCUCUCUAGGCCGUGCUCGUAGAGCAUCUUCAGUGCUGCGCAGGACCUCUCCUCGAGAUCGGCAAAGGCCACGCGGUCUUCGGCCAGGACCCGCGCCUUGGCGUCAAGAUCGGCCUCCCUCGCCUUCACCUUCCGCUCCAGUUCUUCCAACCGGCUGCGCUCGGCAGCCUGCGUCCUCUCCAACUCCCCCAGCUCAGCGUCACGGUUCUUGACGGCAUCCUCCCGUGCCCUCAUCUCCUCCUUCUUCGCCUGGCGGCUGCGUGUUUCUUUGGCGUGCUUAUCGCGCAGGCUCUUCAGCUCGUCCUCCAGCUCUUGACAGUGGUCGCGGGCGACCUUGACGUCUUUCAGUGCCGCCUCGCGAUCGGCUGCAGCAUUGGCGGCGCUCUGCUUCUCCUUCUCGGAAGACGCCGCGGCCUGGCUCAGCGUCGCGCGAACCGCCGAGUCGGAGUGAAGCCAUCCGGAGGCCAACUCCAGGCGCCCGGCUACCAGGCGCGGGUCCGCGCUCAGGAGAUCUGCCUGCAGCUGGGUCAUCUCCAAAAGAGCACGCUCCAGGACAGCAGCAGAAGCAGAAGAACCUGGGAGUGGAGUGCGGCAGCGGAAGGAGGCGACGUCGUCACCAGGGCCUGGGAGGCUACAGGUUCUAGAGCGGUCGGAACCACAUCAGCCGAGCCAGACGCCGGUACCUCCGGAGCCAGCGGGGCCAAGGGGGCUGACUCUCACGAUGGUGCUCUCCUUGGCCUCGCGAGGGCGACCGGGUUGGGGAAGUGUGAGUGUUGCUGCCUCCUUUCUCUGCGGAGGGAGGCGCGGCCGCCGUAUCCUCCUUCCUUUUCUUCGCCGAAGGCAUCGGCCUAAUCAACCAAGGGUGAACGUCAGGAAAUAACAAGUACAACCAGGGACAAGACGAAGCUCAAGGCACUUACCGAUCCACCGCGACGUAUUCUACCUUCCGCUUGGGAAGCUUGAAGCCUGAAAGCGUCGGGGCCUGAGAAGUGGGCGCGCGGGCCCCGGCGGUAGAAGGCGGCGCAGCAGAAGGGCCGGAGCCGGCCCCGGGAGGUGUCAAGACGGAGGCGGCGUCUCGGGGAACCAAUGAUGACCUACCCCUUGUCGGGAUGAGGGGCUGCUCCCUCUCCUCCUGGCGAGCGUCGGCCUCGGCGUCGUCAGGAAGGGCGCGGAGGAUCUCAGCCUUGCUCAAAGGAGGAGUCUCCCCCACCUCUUCAAGAGUCUUCUCCGAGUCCACCUCCUCUUCCUCCUCCCCACGGGACUCGUCAGAGGACACCUCCACCGGCUUCGGUGCUGCGGGGGCUCCUGUGGGGGCCAGCGGCACCAGCCCGUGCGCGUCGAAGGUCGGCCUGGAGGCGACAGAUUCCUCCCAGUCCUUGCGAUGGAACAAAGGAACGAAGGCGCUCGGCGGGUUCUCCUGGUUGUCCCCAACUAUGAGGCGCAGGACAGCAGCCAGUUCGUCGCCAGGCAGGGCCCCUGACCUCAGGCGGGGCUUGUCCCUUUCACCUCCAAGCUUCCACAGGGGGCGCGCGCGUGCCUGAAGUGGAGCAACUCGCAGCAUCAAGAGCUCCCUCAGCAGCAUGACCCCCGUCACCUUGGCCGCCUUCGCGUUGCCCGGCUUCAAGUCGGUCGUCAUCUGCCCCAACAUAGACAACGCUCGCUCAUCAGCGAGCUCUGCACGGGGCCACCCCUUGUUGAACUGGGGCGCCUCCAUUGGCAACACCAAACGCGGAUGGGCGCACUUGGCGUCCAUCAUGACCCAAUUGGCUCGGAUGUUGUCGGCCCUCUUCCCGGUGCUCGAGAUUGAGUUGGCCUUGCCAGAUGCGACGAAAUUGGUGCACCUGGAGAUGUGUCCAUCGUUGACGCGAAGGAAGAAGAAGUGGCGUAGAAGCGCCACGAAUGGCAUCACGCCCAGGUACGCCUCACAGUAGUAGGCAAAGAUGGACAGGAGGAGGAUAGAGUUGGGAUGGAGGUGCAACGCCUGUAGACCGUAGUGGUCGAGGGCCUCAUAAAACAAAUCGGAGAAGGGGGGAACCAACCCGACGACGAUGCUGCUCGAGAAGAAGGGGAAGAAGGUGCUUCCCUCAGGCUCCGGCACGUCGGAUGCAAGCCGGAGCUCCGUCUUCCCCCACUCAUUGCUCUCCCCCGCCGUCAGAAGGCGCGCGGAGGCGAGGCUCUUCUUUGUGACGGUGGGCGCUUCAAGAGCUGGCUCAUACCAAGCUGGUGCCGAGGAGGUCUUGACCUUGCGCGGCGCCAUGGGUCGCAGAUGCGGAGCAAGAUUGGAGCGGAUCUGGAGGUAUCGGUGGCGAGGAGCGAGAAAGGGGAUCUGGAGCGAGGCAAGGAAGAAGCAAUGAAGGCAGGUACUGUCUGCGCCAGCCUUUUGUCAAGUCGGGAAGUUGCCGAGGCAGCGUGGGGAAGCGGAGACACCCACGUCCAAUCAACCGCCGUGCGUCGACCAAGGCCGCAGGCUUUUGGGGCCCGCGGCGCUCCGUGCUUGACCUUUGGCUUUGCCUCGAAGCCAUGCCCGAGCGCGCCUUGGGCCCGGGGGCUACUGUCGGCGUUCUGGGAACGGGGGUCCCCAGACUUCCCUGCCUGUGGCCCACGGCGUGGCUGUGCUAGCAGGCCGUACGGCCCAUCUUCAUCAGCAAGGCGUUCAAGACCCUCGCGAGGGGCCAAGCCUCGCGGGGCGGACGACGCAAGACCUCCUCCGAAGCAGCCUCUCCAGGCAGGCUCACGAGGAGCGGAGAUAUCAAGGCGGGGGAAACCUCGUGAGGCUCGCGUGACGUGAGCCAUGACGAUCGACACCAGGCGGGCACCAGCGCGUGCAGUGUCCUUGUUUCCUCUUUGGUGCUAAGGAGGCAGGCGCAGGCGCGGAGUACCGAGGCAUCAAGCAAAGGUUUCCAUAUCGGUGCAACGAGACCGAAGACCAGCAGGACGGCAAGAUGGAGGUCAGCAUGGAGCCCAAGACGGCGUCACCACUAGAGCCUUUCGCAGGCGAAGACCACUUUUGUCAGGAUAGCUUGUACUAGCUGUCCCCCUUCAAAAUUGCCCGCCGUUGUUGGCUCCCUUCCCGCUCAAUAUUUGGGGAGAGGACAAGGGCCUAUAUAAGUAGAACUAGCCACCAUAGUAGAGGCAUCGGAUCAGAUCCAGAGCCAACCCCUAGCCUCACACCAAACACAAGAACACUUCAACCUCAGGAGGCUGUUCUUCCCCUUGUACUGUUCAUCAUCAGCCCAAGAGGCAAUCCACCACCACACUGGAGUAGGGUAUUACACUGCAACGGUGGCCCGAACCAGUAUAAAUCUCGUGUCUUUCUGUGUUGCGAGUUCGUCGAGUUCGUCCGCGAGAUCUUAGUGAGCUAGGGCGUAGAUCGGUAGGAGGGAAAGAACUUCGCGCGCACCCCAGAGUUUGAUCCUUAAGGGUUUUGCCGGAACCCCAGAUCCGACAAUAAUAGUCAUACUGCUUACCAGCAUGUCAUACUUUGAUUCGGUGGUAUUGUUGGAUGAAGCGGCUCAGAGCGACAUUACGCGUACGCUUAUGCGAGACUGGUUCUACCGACGUGCUUCGCACACAGGUGGCUCGUGGGUGUCUGUUUCUCCAAAUUUAAUUGAAUCGAGUGUGACUAUGCCUGGUCCUUGUUGAAGGUUAAAACAACACACUUGAGGAAAAAUCGUUGUGGUUUUUGAUGUGUAGGUAAGAACGGUUCUUGCUAAGCCCGUAGCAGCCACGUAAAAUCUACAACAACAAGUAGAGGAGGUCUAACUUGUUUUUGUAGGGCAUGUUGUGAUGUGAUAUGGUCAAGACGUGAUGAUAUAUAAAUUGUUGUAUGAGAUGAACAUGUUUUGUUACAGUUAUCGACAACUAGCAGGAGCCUUAUGGUUAUCGCUUUACUGUAUGAAAUGCAAUCGCCAUGUAAUUGCUUUACUUUAUCACUAAGCGGUAGCGAUAGUCGUGAUAGCAAUAGUUGGCGAGACGACAACGAUGCUUCGAUGGAGAUCAAGGUGUCAAGCCGGUGACGAUGGUGAUCAUAACGGUGCUUUGGAGAUGGAGAUCAAAGGAACAAGAUGAUGAUGGCCAUAUCAUAUCACUUAUAUUGAUUGCAUGUGAUGUUUAUCCUUUUAUGCAUCUUAUUUUGCUUAGUACGGCGGUAGCAUUAUAAGAUGAUCUCUCACUAAAUUUCAAGGUAUAAGUGUUCUCCCUAAGUAUGCACCGUUGCGACAGUUCGUCGUGCUGAGACACCACGUGAUGAUCGGGUGUGAUAAGCUAUACGUUCACAUACAACGGGUGCAAGCCAAUUUUGCACACGCGGAAUACUCGGGUUAAACUUGACGAGCCUAUCAUAUGCAGAUAUGGCCUCGGAACACUGAGAUCGAAAGGUCGAGCGUGAAUCAUAUAGUAGAUAUGAUCAACAUAGUGAUGUUCACCAUUGAAAACUUCUCCAUCUCACGUGAUGAUCGGACAUGGUUUAGUUGAUAUGGAUCACGUGAUCAUUUAGAUGACUACAGGGAUUUCUAUCUAAGUGGGAGUUCUUAAGUAAUAUGAUUAAUUGAACUUUAAUUUAUCAUGAACUUAGUCCUGAUAGUAUUUGCAUAACUAUGUUGUAGAUCAAUAGCUCGCGAUGUAGCUCCCCGUGUAUUUUUGAUAUGUUCCUAGAGAAAAACUAUGUUGAAAAAUGAGGGUAGCAAUGAUGCGGACUAGGUCCGUGAUCUGAGGAUUAUCCUCAUUGCUGCACAGAAGAAUUAUGUCCUUGAUGCACCGCUAGGUGACAGACCUAUUGCAGGAGCAGAUGCAGACAUUAUGAACGUUUGACAAAGCUCGGUAUGAUGACUACUUGAUAGUUUAGUGCACCAUGCUUUACGGCUUAGAACCGGGACUUCAAAAACGUUUUGAAUGCCACGGAGCAUAUGAGAUGCUCCAAGAGCUGAAAUUGGUAUUUCAGACUCAUGCCCGAGUCCAGAGGUAUGAGACCUCUGACAAUUACUUUGCCUACAAGAUGGAGGAGAAUAGCUCAACCAGUGAGCAUGUGCUCAGAAUGUCUGAGUACUCAAUCUCUUGAAUCAAGUGGGAGUUAAUCUUCCAGAUAAGAUAGUGAUUGAAAAAGUUCUCUAGUCACUGUCACCAAGUUACUGGAACUUCAUGAUGAACUAUAAUAUUCAAGGGAUGACGAAAAAGAUUCCCGAGCUCUUCGUGAUGCUGAAAUCAGCGAAGGUAGAAAUCAAGAAAAGCAUCAAGUGUUGAUGGUUGACAAGACCACUAGUUUCAAGUAAAAGGGCAAGGGAAAGAAAGGGAACUUCAAGAAGAAUGGCAAGCAAGUUGCCACUCCCAUGAAGAAGCCCAAAGCUAGACCCAAGCCUGAAACUGAGUGCUUCUACUGCAAAGAAAAUGGUCACUGGAAGUGGAACUGCCCUAGAUACUUGGCGGAUAAGAAGGAUGGCAAAGUGAACAAAGGUAUAUUGGAUAUACAUGUUAUUGAUGUGUACUCUUUACUAGUGUAUAUAGCAACCCCUCGGUAUUUGAUACUGGUUCAGUUGCUAAGAGUAGUAACUAGUUAAGGGCGAGGUGAUGAUGUGUGUUAGAAGUGAUUCCAAGGUUGAUAAGAUCACCAUCGCACACUCCCUUUACCUUCGGGAUUAGUGUUGAACCUAAAAUAAAUGUUAUUUGGUGUUUGCGUUGAGCAUGAAUAUGAUUGGAUCAUGUUUAUUGCAAUACGGUUAUUCAUUUAAGUCAAAGAAUAAUUGUUGUUCUAUUUACAUGAAUAAAACCUUCUAUGGUCAUACACUCAAUAUAAAUGGUUUAUUGAAUCUCGAUCAUAGUGAUACACAUAUUCAUAAUAUUGAAGCCAAAAGAUGCAAAGUUAAUAAUGAUACUGCAACGUAUAUGUGGCACUGCCAUUUAGGUCAUAUUGGUGUAAAGCACAUGAAGAAACUCCAUGUUGAUGGACUUUUGGAAUCACUUGAUUACAAAUCACUUUAUGCUUGCGAAUCAUGCCUCAUGGGCAAGAUGACUAAAGCUCCGUUCUCCGGAACAAUGGAGCGAGCAACUGACUAUUGGAAAUAAUACAUACUGAUGUAUGCGGUCCGAUGAGUGUUGAGGCUCGCGGCGGGUAUCGUUAUUUUCUGACCUUCACAGAUGAUUUGAGCAGAUAUGGGUAUAUCUACUUGAUGAAACAUAAGUCUGAAACAUUUGAAAAGUUCAAAAAAAUAUUCAGAGUAAAGUGGAAAAUCAUCGUAACAUGAAAAUAAAAGUUUCUACGAUCUGAUCGUGGAGGUGAAUAUUUGAGUUAUGAGUUUGGUCUUCAUUUGAAACAAUGUGGAAUAGUUUUCCAACUCACACCACCUGGAGCACCACAGCGUAAUGGUGUGUCCGAACAUCGUAACCGUACUUUUUUAGAUAUGGUGCAAACUAUGAUGUCUCUUACCGAUUUACAACUAUCGUUUUGGGGUUAUGCAUUAGAGAUAGCUGCGUUCACGUUAAAUAGGGCACCAUCUAAAUCCGUUGAGACGACACCGUAUGAACUAUGGUUUAGCAAGAAACCUAAGCUGUCGUUUCUUAAAGUUUGGGGCUGCGAUGCUUAUGUGAAAAAACUUCAACUUGAUAAGCUCGAACCCAAAUCGGAGAAAUGCGUCUUCAUAGGAUACCCAAAGGAAACUGUUGGGUACACCUUCUAUCACAGAUCCGAAGGCAAGAUAUUCGUUGCUCAGAAUGGAUCCUUUCUAGAGAAGGAGUUUCUCUCGAAAGAAGUGAGUGGGAGGAAAGUAGAACUUGAUGAGGUAAUUGUACCUUCUCCCAAAUUGGAAGGUAAUUCAUCACAGAAAUCAGUUCCAGUGAUGCCUACACCAAUUAGUGAGGAAGUUAAUGAUGAUGAUCAUGAAACUUCAAAUCAAGUUACUACUGAACCUCGUAGGUUAAACAGAAUAUGUUCACACCAGAGUGGUACGGUAAUCCUAUUCUGGGAGUCAUGUUACUAGACCAUGACGAACCUACGAACUAUGAGGAAGUGAUGAUGAGCCCAGAUUCCACGAAAUGGUUUGAGGCCAUGAAAUCUGAGAUGGCAUCCAUGUAUGAGAACAAAGUAUGGACUUUGAUUGACUUGCCCGAUGAUCGGUGAGCCAUUGAGAAUAAAUGGAUCUUCAAGAGGAAGACAGAUGCUGAUGGUAGUGUUACUAUCUACAAAGCUCGACUUGUCGCGAAAGGUUUUCGACAAGUUCAAGGUGUUGACUACGAUGAGAUUUUCUCACUCGUAGCGAUGCUUAAGUCUGUCUGAAUCAUGUUAGCAAUUGACGCAUUUUAUGAAAUCUGGCAAAUGGAUAAUAAAAAUGCACUCCUUAAUGGAUUUAUUAAAGAAGAGUUGUAUAUGAUGCAACCAGAAGGUUUUGUCAAUCCUAAAGGUUCUAACAAAAUGUGCAAGCUCCAGCGAUCCAUUUAUGGACUGGUGCAAGCAUCUCGGAGUUGGAAUAUACGCUUUGAUAGUGUGAUCAAAGCAUAUGAUUUUAUACAGAUUUUUGGAGAAGCCUGUAUUUACAAGAAAGUGAGUGGGAGCACUACAGCCUUUCUGAUAAGUAUAUGUGAAUGACAUAUUGUUGAUCAGAAAUGAUGUAGAAUUUUUCUGGAAAGCAUAAAGGAGUGUUUGAAAGGGUUUUUCAAAGAAAGACCUCGGUGAAGCUGCUUACAUAUUGAGCAUCAAGAUCUAUAGAGAUAGAUCAAGACGCUUGAUAAGUUUUUUCAAUGAGUACAUACCUUGACAAGAUUUUGAAGUAGUUCAAAAUGGAACAGUCAAAGAAGGAGUUCUUGCCUGUGUUGCAAGGUGUAAAGUUGAGUAAAGACUCAAAACCCGACCACGGCAGAAAUAGAAAGAGAAUGAAAAGUCAUUCCCUAUGCCUUAGUCAUAGGUUCUAUAAAAUAUGACAUGUUGUGUACCAGACCUAUUGUAUACCUUGUCCUGAGUUUGGCAAGGGAGUACAAUAGUGAUCUAGGAGUAGAUCACUGGAUAGCGGUAAAAAAAUAUCCUUGGUGGAAUAAGGAUAUGUUUCUUGGUUAUGGAGGUGACAAAAAGUUCGUCGUAAAAGGAUGCAAGCUUAACGUUCGGUGAUGAUCGGUAUUAUGAGUUUAUGUGUUUUGAUGUACUGAAGGUUGUUUGGAGUCCCGGAUGUGAUCACGGACAUGACGAGGAGUCUAGAAAUGGUCGAGACAUAAAAAUCGAUAUAUUGGAAGGCUAUGUUUGGACACCGGAAUGGUUUCGAAUGAGUUCGGGCAUUUUCCGGAGUACCGGGAGGUUACCGGAACCCCCCGGGGAGUCAAUGGGCGUUAUUGGGCCUUAGUGGAAGAGAGGAGGAGGCGGCCAAGUGGAGGGCGCGCCCCCCCUAAGCCCAAUCCGAAUUGGGGUGGGGGCCGGCCCCCCUUUCCUUCUCUCCCUCUUCCUCUUCCUUCUUCUCCUACUCCAACUAGGAAGGGGGAAAACCUACUCCUACUGGGAGUAGGACUCCCCCCCUUGGGCACGCCCUAUGAGGGUCGGCCCUCUCCUCCUCCCCUCCUUGAUAUAUGGGGAGGGGGGCACCCCAUAGACACACAAGUUGACAGUUGUCUUAGCCGUGUGCGGUGCCCCCCUCCACAGAUUUCCACCUCGGUCAUAUCGUUGUAGUGCUUAGGCGAAGUCCUGCGUCGGUAACUUCAUCAUCGCGUCAUCACGUCGUCGUGCUGACAAAACUCUCCCUCGGCCUCAGCUGGAUCAAGAGUACGAGGGACGUCACCGAGCUGAACGUGUGCAGAUCGCGGAGGUGCCGUGCAUUCGGUACUUGAUCGGUUGGAUCGCGAAGACGUUCGACUACAUCAACAGCGUUACUUAACGCUUCCACUUUCGGUCUACAAGGGUACGUGGACACACACUCCCGCUCGUUGCUAUGCGUCACCUACAUGGUUCUUGCGUGUGCUUAGGAAAUUUUUUGAAAUUACUGCGUUCCCCAACAUGGACCGCCUCUUUGCUCUAUAAAUACCCCAAUAUUCCCAAAACCCUAGGGGAGUGGAUGAAAUAUUCAUCCAGCCACCGCAGAAUCCAGAACCACCAGAUCCAAUCUAGACACCAUCUCGGAUGGGGUUCACCACCUCCAUUGGUGCCUCUCCGAUGAUGCGUUAGUAGUUCUUUGUAGAACUUCGGGUCCGUAGUUAGUAGCUAGAUGGCUUCAUCUCUCUCUCUCUGAAUUCUCAAUACAAUGGUCUCUUGGAGAUCCAUAUGAUGUAACUCUUUUGCGGUGUGUUUGUUGGGAUCGAUGAACUUUGAGUUUAUGAUCAGAUCUUUCUUUUUAUAUCCAUGAAAGUUAUUUGAGUUCCUUUGAUCUCUUAUAUGCAUGAUUGCUUAUAGCCUUGUAUUUCUUCUCCGAUAUUUGGGUUUUGUUUGGCCAACUUGAUCUAUUUAUCUUGCAAUGGGAAGAGGUGCUUUGUAGUGGGUUCGAUCUUACGGUGCUUGAUCCCAUUGAAAGAAGGGGAACCGACACGUAUGUAUCGUUGCUACUAAGGAUAAAAUGAUGGGGUCUAUCCUACAUAGAUAGAUCUUGUCUACAUUAUGUCAUCGUUCUUAUUGCAUUACUCUGUUUUUCCAUGAACUUAAUACACUAGUUCCAUGCUGAUAGCGGUCGAUGUGUGGAGUAAUGGUAGUAGAUGCAGGCAGGAGUCGGUCUACUAAUCUUGGACGUGAUGCCUAUAUAAUGAUCAUUGCCUAGGUAUCGUCAUGAGUAUUUGAAGUUCUAUCAAUUACCCAACAGUAAUUUGUUCACCCACCCUUUGCUAUUUUUCUCGAGAGAAGCCACUAGUGAAACCUACGGCCCCCGGGUCUCUUUCUCAUAUAUUUGCCUUUGCGAUCUACUUUUUCCUUGUAUUUAUUUUCAGAUCUAUUAAACCAAAAAUACAAAAAUACUUUGCUGCACUUUAUUUUAUUUGCGAUCUAUUUAUUCAAUCUAUUACAACUUUCUCCCGUCCACGCACCAAUUUCUGGCACGGUUACCCGAAAGGGAUUGACAACCCCUUUAACACGUCGGGUUGCGAGUGGUUGUUAUUUGUGUGCAGGGGUUGUUUACAUUGUGUUGCUUGGUUCUCCUACUGGUUCGAUAACCUUGGUUUCAACACUGAGGGAAAUACCUACCGUCGCUGUGCUGCAUCAUCCCUUCCUCUCUGGGGAAAUACCGACGUAGUCCUAGCAGACAUCAAGCGGCGCCACGCGGCGUUCACACCGCAGCGAUGGAGGAGGCGUCCGUCGGACCACCGGGUUUCUGGGCGAGUCGACGUGGGACCCCUUCGUCAGUCCUACAUGGCGGGCGUGCCCGGACGCCCCCAUAUCCGUCCCAUAUUGGGCUAGAUAUGUGGGGUGCCGGUCAGCCGGGCAUUUGAGGCCCGUUUGAGGGGGUCGUCUGGGUCAUAAAAACGUGACUGGUCAGUGACCGGGUGGCCCGCCCGGGCGUAUGUGACGCGUUUGGGGCACCCGGCUGUAGAUGCUCUCACAUGGCUUUAAAGUAAUGGUUUAAACUGAAUCCUCCAGGUUGCUUUCUCCUCUUCAGUGAUUCCUCCUCUUAUAAAAUCGACUUGCCUAAAUUGUAAAUUCAAUCGACUUAUGGCAUUUCUAAUCAAUCCCCUAAAGUUAAGGGAGUAAACGGCGGAGUAAAGUUAGUGAAGUAAAUUUUACUUCACUAACGCUGGCCGCGCCUAGCCGAUCUCCUAUAGUUAGUGGAGUAAAAAAUUGUAGAUUUUGUGUCCUAAUCGCACGAACUUCGAACACUACAUAAAUAUCUUAAAAACAUUCAAAUUAAAACAGACAUAGCAUUACCAUCAUAAUAUAAAGUUUCAUCAUCACAUUUUUCAAAUUAAAACAUCAUAAUAUAAAGUUUCAUCAUCACAUUUUUCAAAUUAAAACAUGCGAAGUUCACCCAAAAGACAUCAGUUCAAACACAAUGGUUGAUUCAAAAUCACCACAGACAUAGCAUGUAUAUGUUGUGGAUCGAGCCAACUGUUGGCAUCCUUGGCCUCCCCAUCGGCCACCACAACCCAAACCGGCGAAGAAAUCAACAUCAUCGCCGCCGCCACCCCCUUGGCCACCACCAUCCUCUCGACCACCAACAUCACCACCGCCAUCCUCUCGGCCACCACCAUCAACAUCAUCGCCGCCACCAUCCCCUCGCCCACCACCAUCAACACCACCUCCUCGGUCACCACCAUCAACACCACCCCUCGGCCACCACCAACAUUCCGAAGAGAGGCUUCCAAGAUCUCUCCCCGAGUGAGCUCCCAAUACUUUCUUGCGGUUUCAUCCAUUGUGUUUGGAUUCAUGAACAUCAUAGCGCGUUCCUCGAUCUUCUUGGCAUCAUGGAUCCUCUCCUCCUCAAGUGCAAGUCUACGCUCCUCCGCCUUCAACUUUCUCUCUUCGGCCAACGACUUCGUGAUACGUCUCCAACGUAUCUACUUUUUCUCACGCUUUUCCUCUUGUUUUGGACUCUAAUUUGCAUGAUUUGAAUGAAACUAACCCCGGACUGACGCUGUUUUCAGCAGAACUACCAUGGUGUUGUUUUUGUGCAGAAAUAAAAGUUCUCGGAAUGGAACGAAACUUUGCGAGGAUUUUUUAUAUCCAUAAUAAGAAUUUCUGGAGCCAAGACCCACCAGAGAGGGGGGGCCCUGGUUGGGCACAACCCACCAGGGCGUGCCCCCCUCUCCUGGCGUGCCCAGGUGGGUUGUGCCCACCUGGUGGCCCCGCAGACGACCCCCUGAUAUUAUAAAUUCACAUUAUUCCAGAAAAAAUCAGGGAGAAAGAAUUAUCGCGAUCCACAAGAUGGAGCCGUCGCCAAGCCCUGUUCUUCCUCGGGAGGGCAGAUCUGGAGUCCGUUUGGGGCUCCGGAGAGGGGGAUCUUCGUUCUUCGUCAUCACCAACCAAUCUCCAUCGCCAAUUCCAUGAUGCUCCCCACCGUGAGUGAGUAAUUCCUUCGCAGGCUCGCUGGUCGGUGAGGAAUUGCACGAGAUUCAUCAUGUAAUCGAGUUAGUUUUGUUAGGGCCCGAUCCCUAGUAUCCACUAUGUUCUUAGAUUGAUGUUGCUAUGACUUUGCUAUGCUUAAUGCUUGUCACUUUGGGCCCGGGUGCCAUGAACACAGAUCUGAACCGUUUAUGAAUUCAUAAUUAUAUCCAUGUUUUAGAUCCGAUCUUGCAAGUUAUAGUCACCUACUACGGUUAUGAUCCGACAACCCCGGAGUGACAACAACCGAGCCCACUCUCGGUGAUGACCGUAGUUUGAGGAGUUCAUGUAUUCACUAUGUGUUAAUGCUUUGUUCCAGUUCUCUAUUAAAAGGAGGCCUUAAUAUCCCUUAGUUUCCAAUAUGGACCCUGCCACAGGAGGGUAGGACAAAAGACGUCAUGCAAGUUCUUUUAAUAAAGCACGUAUGACUAUUUAUGGAAUACAUGCCUACAUUAUAUCGAUGAACUGGAGCAUUGCCGUAACGCCCUAGGUUAUAACUAUCACAUGAUGAAUAUCAUCCAACAAGUCACCGAUCCAAUGCCUACGAAUUUAUCCUUAUUGAUCUUGCUGCGUUACUAUUGCUAUCAUCAAUGUUACACUUGCUACAAAUUACUGCUAUCACCGUUACUGUUACCGUAGCCGUUGUCACUACUAUCAAAACUAUCAAACUACUUUGCUACUGAUCACUUUGCUGCAGAUAAUUAAUCUCCAGGUGUGGUUGAAUUGAAAACUCAGCUGCUAAUACCUUCAAAUAUUCUUUGGCUCCCCUUGUGUCGAAUCUAUAAAUUUGGGUUGAAUACUCUACCCUCGAAAACAGUUGCGAUCCCCUAUACUUGUGGGUUAUCAAGACCUUUUUCUGGCGCCGUUGUCGGGAAGCAUAGCUAUAUUUGUUGAGUCACUUGGGAUUAUUAUCAUAUUAUCACUAUGAAGAAUCUGAAGGAUCCAAAGACUAAGAUUUAUCCCUCAAACACGAGGGGAGGUAACGAACUGCCAUCCAGUUCUGCUUUAGAUUCACCUUUUGUUAUGAGUAAACUUGCAACACCACCACAUGCUAUCAAUUCUAAUAUGUCGCAAGUUAUUGAUGAUGCUACUUCGACUAUGAAUGAUGCUUAUGAUGAUGCUAGUACUAGGGAUGUAAAUGGUACGGAUAAUUUCUGUUUCGCAUCCGCUUCCGCAUCCGUUUUUAAGGAUAUGGUAUGCACUUACGCAAAUCUGGUGGAUAUGGAUGCGGAUACGGAUAUUGGUCAACCGGAUAUCCGGCGGAUACGGUAGAGGAUAUGGUAUUGGUAAUAUCCGGCGGAUAUGGAUUAUCCGAUAUUUUUUGUGCAUUAUCCGUGGUUGACAAAUGGGAUUAUCCGAUAAAUUUAGCCCAAUUAAGAAGCCCAAAUGCCCACGUGGACCACUAAUAAAAAUCACCACAUACAAAUAGAAUUUAACCUAAGCCUAGUAGGAGACCAGAAUCACAAUUCACACGCAGCCGUCGACCUUGCUCAUCUUAGCAUCGUCUUUUCUUGGGCCGUCGGCGGCGGCCGCAUCUCUCCGCCAAGUCGGCUGUCCGGCACAAUGAGCAAAUAUGCCGGCGUCGAUCCAAGCAACGGAGGUGAGCAAGCACUCUAACCUUUCAUGUUUUUAGAUGCAAUGAAUCAUGCAAGUUUAGGGCGUCGAAGGACGAAGGUAGGUAUGUUGUAUCCAUGAAUGCGUCCACGGCUCCACGCCAUGUAGGUGCAACUUCUCUUCUCUACAUGCACAGCGGGUCAUGAUGGUAGUCUAGUAGAUCACCGUGAGUGAAAUUGGUGCUGCUCGUGGCCAUGAUCUACACUACACCCAUACAUGACGAGGUCUGAACGGUGGUCUACAUACAUGCACACUUAGGAAUAUUGAGUAUGAACAAGUAUGAACAUUGGUAGUGGUUCCUUCUUCCUUGCAUGCAGUCACAUACAAGUAUGAAUACCAAGUUAAUUUGUAGUCGAGUAGAGUAGGCUUCAUCUUAGUAAACUACAAAACAUUAUGAAUCUAUGAUGUUUACUGUCUUACUUGCUACAGCGUCUAAGAUAUUAAUUCCUUUGAUCUUUCUAUAGAUCGUCUGAAAAAUAUAUCGGUAAAUCAUGUCUCUUUGCACGUAUCAUCCGAUAUUGUUUGGCCGUUUCCGGUCCGAAUCCGUAGUCCGGUAUAAUCCGCAUUCAAAUCCGCAUCCGGUCAUUAUCCGCUCCGCUCCGAAUCCGACGAAAAAAUAUGGUAAAGGAUAUGGUAAAAGCAUUAUCCGAUCCGAUCCGAUCCGUUUACAUCCCUACCUAGUACCUUGCUUGAUAAUGAUGAUGUGCCACUUGGUGAAUUUCUUGAUGAACAAAUUGCUAGAGUAAUACAACAUGAUGUUGUUGAAUCUGAUGAUGAGCUUGAAACUGAAACUCCUGAAACACUUGCUAGAACUAGCCUUCCUAGAUAUGAAUUGGCUAAUGUACCGGAAGGUUAUGCUAUGAGUGAAGAAGAAACUAGAGAUAUUCUUGCUUGUAAGGAUAGAGAUGAUCUAGAGAAAUUACUAUGCGAGUAUAAAGAAAAAUCUCUGAAUGCUAGAAUGAAAUGUGAUCCUAAGUUUGCUACUUCACCUAUCUGUAUUGCUGAUAAGGAUUAUGAAUUCUCUGUCGACCCAGAGUUAAUUACUUUGGUUGAAUCUGAUCCUUUCCAUGGUUAUGAAAAUGAAACUGUUGUGGCACAUCUUACUAAGUUGAAUGAUAUAGCCACCCUUUUUUACUCAUGAUGAGAAAACUCACUAUUACUUUAUUCUCAAAUUAUUUCCUUUAUCAUUAAAAGGUGAUGCUAAAGCUUGGUACAAUACUCUUACUCCUGGUUGUGUGCGUAGUCCCCAGGAUAUGAUUUAUUACUUCUCUGAAAAAUAUUUUCCUGCUCAUAAGAAACAAGCUGCCUUACAGGAAAUAUUUAUCUUUGUGCAGACUAAGGAAGAGAGUCUCCCACAAGCUUGGGGGAGGCUUUGCCAGUUACUUAAUGCUUUGCCAGAUCAUCCUCUUAAGAAAAAUGAAAUACUUGAUAUCUUUUAUAAUGGACUAACUGAUGCUUCUAGGGAUUUCCUAGAUAGUUGUGCUGGUUGUGUUUUCAGGGAAUGGACUAUUGCUCAAGCUGAAGAAGUAUUGAAUAACAUAUUGAAAAAUUAUGAUGAUUGGACUAUUCCUGAACCACAGGCUAAACCCACUCCAAAGAAGAGGGGUAUAUUAUAUCUCAGUCCUGAAGAUAUGCAAGAGGCAAAGAAAUCUACGAAGGAAAAGGGUAUGAAAGCUGAGGAUGUUAAAAAUUUACCUCCUAUUGAAGAAAUACAUGGGCUUAAUACACCACCACUGCCUAAGGUGGUAGAGGUAAAUUCUCUUAUGAAGUUCAAUGAAAAUGAUAAUCCUCACAAUAUGCAUCCUAGCCAAUGCCUUUAUGAGUUUGAAAACUAUAUUAGAAAACAAGACCACUUCAAUGCAAGUGUUAUGAAACAGUUGAAAUAUAAUUCUGAUAUGAUUGCUCACUUGAGUGACUUGUUAUUUAGAAUAUCAAAUGACGUUAGAGGUGUUGGAAAACAUGCUUCUAUGGUUCAAACUCAGCUAGAACAAGUUGCUAAAUCACAAAGAGAAUUACUUGAUGAAAUGAAUCAUAAUAUGCAUGACUUUGUUGUUAGAGUUGCAACUAGAGGAGGUAAAAUGACUCAGGAACCACUUUAUCCUGAGGGAUACCCAAAAAGAAUAGAACAAGAUUCACAAAGAAACAACACUAGUGCACCUAGUCCUUCUAAAAAGAAGAAAAAGAAAAAUGAUAGGACUUUGCACACUACUAGUGAACCUGAAAUAGAAAAACCUCCUGAUAAUGAAAAUGAAACUUCUAUCUCUGAUGUUGAAACUCAAUCUGGUAAUGAACAUCCACCUAAUGAUAAUGAAAAAGAUAAUGCUGAUGUUCAUGAAGAUGCUCAACCAAAUAAUGAAAAAGAACCAGAUAAUGAUGUUGAGAUAGAGCCACCUGUUGAUCUUGAUAACCCAAUACCUAAAAAUCAAAGGUAUGGUAAAAGAGACUUCAUUGCUAGAAAACACGGUAAAGAAAGAGAACCGUGGGUUCAAAAACCUAUGCCUUUUCCACCCAAGUCAACUAAAAAGAAUGAUGAUGAAGAAGAAUUUGAAUGCUUUGCUGAAAUGCGGAGGCCAGUCUUUUUGCGUACUCGCUUGACUGAUAUCUUGAAAAUGCCUCCUUAUGCAAAGUAUAUGAAAGACAUCAUCACAAAUAAGAGAAAAAUACCAGAAGCUGAAAUCUCCACUAUGCUUGCUAAUUAUACUUUCAAAGAUGGAGUACCUAAAAAACUUGGAGAUCCAGGAAUACCAACUAUACCUUGCUCUAUCAAAAAGAAUUAUGUGAAAACUGCUUUGUGUGAUUUAGAAGUUGGUGUUAGUGUUAUGCCUUUCUCUUUAUAUGAAAGACUUGACUUGAAUAAACUCACACCUACUGAAAUAUCUUUGCAAAUGGAUGACAAAUCAACUGCCAUACCUAUCGGUAUCUGUGAGGAUGUGCCUGUUGUUGUUGCUAAUGUUACUAUUUUGACUAACUUUGUUAUACUUGAGAUGCCCGAGGACGACAACAUGUCGAUUACCCUUGGUAGACCCUUCUUGAAUACUGUAGGGGCUGUUAUUGAUUGCAAUAAAAGCAAGGUCACUUUUCAUAUUAAUCGUAAUGAGCAUAUGGUGCACUUUCCAAAGAAACAAUUCCAAGUGAAUGGUAUUAAUGUUAUUGAAAAAUCACCGACAAUCACUAUUGGAAGUUUUCAAAUACCUCUACCUAUUGUCAAAAAGAAAUAUGAAAUGCUUAUUGUUGGGGAAAUUCAUAUCCCCAUUGAGGUAACUUGGUGAUUUAUGAAGGUUCUUCGGUUUCAUGCUAAUCGAAAGUGGUUGUUAAUAAGACCUGAUCAACCUUAUUAAUGCAUCAUUUUUGAACGGUAUGAAGUUGAUGAAUUUAGUAAGCACUACUUUAUGUCCCUACUUUUUAUUUCUCUAUUUUUAUUAGUUAAAUAAAAUAAAUGCCAUGUUUUGUCUGUUUUCUCAAUUUCCCGUGCAAUAAAAAAUGACCCAAAAAUAAAAGUUCUCAGAAUGCCCUGAAAAUUUUAUACGAUUUUUUCUGAAUAUUUAAGAAUUUUUGGUGCAAAUAAUACCAUAGGGGGGUGCACCAGGUGGGCACAACCCACCUGGGCGUGCCAGCACCCCCUGGCGCGCCCUGGGGGGUUGUGGUCCCCAUGUGGGCCCCCUCACUUACCUCUUCAUCCCACAUUGUCACCUACCUCCAGAAAAAAAAUCACCCUUGCUCUCUCUCCCAUGUUCUUGAGCUCAAACCCGCGGAUUUCGAUCUCUUUGCUUGAAACUCCGUUUCCGAAACUGUUUCGGGGGAUUGUUGCUUGGUAUGUGAUUCCAUCAUUUGUCCAAUUAGUUUUUGUUUUUGGUUUAUACUUUGAAUAAAUAGCUACUCUUGGUGCUGCUGUAGAUGUGCUUGCAUGUUCAAUUCUUAGUGUUCUAAGUAGUUUGAAUGCUUGAUGUGGCCUCUAUGUAUCCCUAUGAGUAGUUGCUAUUAGUUUUGUAAAGUUUUGUUGACAAAUUUUUGUCACCUCAAAAAUUUUAUUUUCAGAAAAUUGUACGCGGACAUGUUGAACUUGUUUGGAAGGAGUUCUUCGAGGAGACGAUCCUCGGGGGCAUCCUCUAGUGACAACUCUGCUCAUUGGUCAUACGUUGAACCAAGUAAAAGUUCCACGCGGGAUGCUUCUACCAAAACUUGCUUAUGGCCUUGCGAUGAGUAUAUGAUGCAAGUGGGCAUCAAGGGGGAAUUUGAGCAAUAUGUUCACAGUGUCGGUCUCGGUCCCUACAUCUCAGAUAAGUGUCAACAGCGCCAUCUUCUCACUGAAUCAUUUGUCAAAGAAUUUAAAUAUUUUCCUCGUGAGUCUAGGGUGUCGUUUAUGCUUUAUGAUAAAUUGUAUACUAUUUCACUAGAGAACUUUGCUUAUCAUUGCAAACUUCCAUUUUGGGGUUCGCUUGAUGAGCCAGCAAAGGCUGAGUAUGAGUCUUUCUUGACUAGCCUUUGUUACGGUCAAAAUAGGGGUGUGAGACAAGGAAGAAUAAAGAGCAUUCACUUUCCCGCAAUUCAGUACCUCGCAUUAUUUAACGGGAAAUGCAUGGUAGGAAAGCAAGACUGUAGCAUACUUUGUGCUCCAGACUUGAGCCUCAUUCACACCGCUCUCACUGGUGAAAGGAAUUAUAACCUUGGAGCGAUUGUUGCACGUAGACUUUAGCAUAACGCCAAAAGUGGCUGGUUCUAUGGUGGAAUAUAUGCCACGCAUUUAGCACGAGGGCUGAGUGUUUCACCUUUGCCUUUUGAUCCUAUACUUCCCACUCGGUAUUUAGAUUUUGAUGCUUUAAAGGAGCAUAAGAUUCUCGCAGGAAGGGCUGAUAAUUUCACUUAUAGUUUGUUGUUUAACCAAUCACAUGUUGUGGACACAUAUUUGCAUGCGCCUGCUCUCUUUGAUUAUCACAACAAGGAAAGAUAUUUUGUUCUUGAGAGCGAGGCCCGAGCUCACAACGCAACAGUGUUGGUGGCACAGCGUGCUGAGGACUCCGCACCGAGAGCCUCCGUGAGCUACCACGCUGACUACUACCCUCCAGGCCACUGAUCGAUUACCAACUUAGGCCAAAAGCCUAAGCUUGGGGGAGUACGUGUUUCUCACCGACAUUACAUUCAUGCUCACAUAUCAUUCUAUUUGUCGGUGCUCACACUUUUCCAUUGUAUCAUCCAUGCUUAGAUUUAUUUUCUUGCGUUCUUCUUGUGUGUUUGAAAACUUUAGAAAAACCAAAAAAAUAGUUGUAGUAAUUUACUUUCUAUUCAUGCUUAGUAGUAGUACUAAAAAGAAAAAACCCAAAAAGAUUUCCUUGUUCUUCUUUUUCUUGUUGGGAGCUUUCCCGUGUAAAUAGUUUUUCUCGUUUUUGCUUUUUAUUUGCUUGUUGAAGAAAACCCAAAACUCCAAAAAUAUUUCAGUGUGUUUCUUUCAAUUUCUUUUCCUUUUAUUCGAGUUGUACCGAGGAGAAGACCACGAUGAAAAUGUUGAGUGGCUCUCAUAUGAAUAACUGUUGAACUAAUAAAGAGCCCAUUUUACCUUGUCUUCUCCUGUUGAAUAAAAUGUUUUGCAGAUUCCAGCCUAGUCCAUGGCACUCUUGCACUAUUAUUACUUUCAUAUCAUUCAGUCAUGCAAGUGAAAGGCAAUAAUGACGAUAUUCGAUGAGCUGGCUGUGCCAAAGAGAAACUGGUAUGAACUCGACUUGUUCUAUCUGUGUAAAUAUGUUUAACCUAGUAUCCAGGCUUCAGCCCAUUAUGAUUAAACAUGUUUGCAAUGACAAAUAGAGAUUAUAGUUUCUCAUGCCAUGCAUAAGUAGCUGGGAGUGGAUAAUGAUUUAUCUUGGAUAUCAACAUAGCGUUAAAAUGAUUGUGAUGUAGUAUGAUGAUAUGGUAUCCUCCUCUGAAUGUUCGAGUGGCUUGACUUGGUACAUGUUCAUGCAUGUAGUUGAAUCAAAACCAACAUAGCCUCUAUAAUAUUUAUGUUCAUGGUGUUCAUAUCCUACUCAUGCUAGUGUCCAAUGUUACUUAUGCAUAAUUCAUGGUUAUGAUCGUUGUUGCUCUCUAGAUGGCCGCUUCCGAAUCUUAUUUGCUAGCCUUCGCUUGUACUAAGUGGGAAUUCUGCGUGUACAUCAAAACCUUGAACCCAAAGUUAUUCCAGAUGAGUCCACCAUACCUACCUAUAUGCGGUAUUACCCUACCGUCCUAAGUAAAUUUGCAUGUGCCACCUCUAAAAACUUCUAAAAAAAGUUAUCCGUUUUGUGUGCCUGGAUCAUUCAUGGAACGACAGGAGGUGGUCGAUAUCUUCCAUGCUAAGCGGGCUAUCCUCAGGUCGAGUGUUUAUUCACUCGCCAUCGCACGAGGAAAUGGGCGGUAAUAGGGAUGCCCAGUCCCAAACUGCAAACAUGAAAAAGAUUUCAUCUCUUGAAUAAUCAAACAAAAACUCCCAAUGGAGUCAAAACCUUUACUUUCCGCUUGGAAACCGCCACUAGCGUGCUUAGCAUGGAAGAUGUUGAUAACUGAUGGUCGUGAAGUGAAUAAGAAGGGUGCAUGUCUCAAAAUUAUCAUUUAUCUCUGUUAUAAAAAGUGAGCUCUGGCACCUCUGCAAAUCACUGCUUCCCUCUGCGAAGGGACUUUCUAUUUACUUUUAUGUUGUGUCACCAGCUUCUAUAAACAAGAGCCAGAAACUGAGUAGAGCACAACGUUCAUGAUUUAUGCAUUGUGUAUAGCUAAUGUUGGGUGCAUCAUGACUGUUUAGUCGCUGCUUGAACUUCGGAGGUGCUCUGCAUUUAUGUUUUGCGGUAUCAUAAAGGGCUAGCGAGAUACCAUUAUUGUCAUAUUAUAUCAUGGUUGUUUUGACAACGUGUUGUUAUUUGAGAUAUCUUAUCAUUGCUCGCUAGCUGAUUAUGUCAUUGAUAUGAGUCAUUAUAAUCUUUAAGAGUUAUUGUUGACAUGGUUAGUUAUAAUGCUGGCUGAAAACCUGGGUGCUGUUUAAGCUUACUUAUGCAAACAAGAGCAAAAGAAUUCGUAAAAUUUUUUAUUUCUCACUUUCAGUUUAUCAACUGAAUUACUUGAGGACAAGCAAAGGUUUAAGCUUGGGGAUUUGAUACGUCUCCAACGUAUCUACUUUUUCUCACGCUUUUCCUCUUGUUUUGGACUCUAAUUUGCAUGAUUUGAAUGAAACUAACCCCAGACUUGUCGGCGUUCUGGGAACGGGGGUCCCUAGACUUGCCUGCCUGCGGCCCACGGCGUGGCCAAGCAAGCAGGCCGUACGGCCCAUCUUCAUCAACAAGGCAUCCAAGACCCUCGCGAGGGUCCAAACCUCGCGAGGCGGACGACGCAAGACUUCCUCAGGAGUGGCCUAGUCAGGCAGGCUCGCGAGGAGCGGAGAUAUCAAGGCGGGGCAAACCUCACGAGGCUCUCGUGACGUGAGCCAUGACGAACAGCACCAGACGGGCGCCAGCGCGCGCAGCGUCCUUAUUUCCUCUUUGGUGCUAAGGAAGGCCAUCGCAGGCGAAGAGUACCGAGGCAUCAGGCAAAGGUUGCCAUAUCGGUGCAACGAGACCAAGACCAGGAGGACGGCGAAACAGAGGUCAUCGUGGAGCCCAAGACGGCGUCCCCACCAGAGCUUUUCGCAGGCGAAGACCGCUUUUGUCAGGAUAGCUUGUACUAGUUGUCCCCCUUCAAAUUUGCCCGCCGUUGUUGGCUCCCUUCCCGCUCGAUAUUUGGGAAGAGGACCAGGGCCUCCAUAAAUAGGACUAGCCACCAAAGUAGGAGGCGACUGAUCUCGAACUGAUUCGGAUCAUCCUCAACUACACAAGCACAAGAACACCUCAACCUCAGGAGGUUGUUCUUCCCUUGUACUGUUCAUCAUCAGACCAAGAGGCAAUCCACCACCACCACACUGGAGUAGGGUAUUACACCACAACGGUGGCCCGAACCAGUAUAAACCUCGUGUCUUUCUGUGUUGCGAGUUCGUCGAGUUCGUCCGCGAGAUCUUAGCGAGCUAGGGCGUAGAUCGGUAGGAGGGAAAGACUUCGCGCGCACCCCAGUGUUUGAACCUUAAGGGUUUGCCGGAACCCCACAUCUGACAUUUGGCGCGCCAGGUAGGGGUGCGCCAGAGCUUCUUCUCCACCAACUAACUCGCCGAUGCUCCACCGCCGCGAUGUCCGGCGACCCAAGGGCCGGCUCCGACCGCUGGGCAGCCUGGUUAGCCCGGGCAGCGUCGCCUGCCCAUGAAGACCUCGACCCCACGCUCCAGGCGGCACGAGCGCCGCCAAACUCCGUCGGGCGCGGGCGGCGCGGCCAGGCGUCGUCCAACCUCACCCCGCGGCAAGUACGAUCCGCUGCAAGAGCGGCGAGCCAUGCCGCAGCAACGGCGCCGCACUCGCGGCGGGAGCAAGCAAACAUGCGGGCAGCGCUCACCGUGGCAAGGGAGCUGCUGCGGUGCAGACUGAUGGAGAGUGGUCGGGAUGCACUGCUGGAGCGCGUUGCCGAGCUGCUGGACGCAGCAGCGUUGGGAGCACCACCUUUCUGCUAUCGGCUUCCUCCUCAGGCCACCGCAGGGCCACACGGCGGGCCUGACCACAACCGCGCGCCGACGGCUACGCCGGGGAGCUUCAUCAACGUCAGCACGGCUAGCGGCGUAGGGGGCUCCGCCGCCCCCAUGCCGCCCGCGACAAGCACGGGCACAAGCGUCGCCCCCCAUGGUCCAGGCCGGGUGCCGUGCUACCAUCCUCAGGACGUCGCCCUAGGCCGAGCAACAUGGAGCGUGGGGCACUACGGAGAGGUGUUCGGGGUGACGGCCCCGGAAGCCUACGUGCCCCACAUGAUGGACCGGGAGUACGCACCGGAGGACGACCCCGGGUCAUUCGUUGGAGAAGAUUGGGAAGCGGGGGCGCUAGGAGCUGAAGCCUUCCAAGAACCAACGGAGAACCACGACGAUCGCGCCGGCGACGGCAACUACAGGGUACCCCUAAUCCCUCAGGAGCAAGCUUACGCUAACCAUGAGUCGCAGGAGGAACAGAUCACCGCAACGGCCGGUGGUCCCAGCUCGGCGGCCUCCCUGCCGCCAGGGGAAUCGCGUUGGGGGCUGCAAGAGAGGGGUCGGGAGCCAGGCCCCUCCCCACGGCACGCGAAGCCAAGGGACACCCGGAGGUAGGCCCUCUACCGGGGAUGCUUCGGCGACCCUUCCCCCGGCAGAGGACCUGUGGUCGCCGAGGGAACCGCUGGCGUCCUCUUUCCCUCCUUUGUGUCAUCCUGGUGACCGGUCGGCUCAGAGGAGGUCAAAGGUGGCGCAAGGCGGGGCCCUCGUCUGGCGAUAUGAAGCAAGGCCGGUACCUGUGAAGAAGGCCCAGUGCCUGUGAAGCUCGCCGCCCGUGACACUCUCACGUAAUAAUGAGUUGGGGCUGUACACGCCCCGGAGUCUCAGGAGCACCGGCCUCAGGACCUGGGGCUCCCUCCCACGCCUAGUGGCAGCACUUAGCUCCGCGCUGGUGAGAAGACUUGAAGACCAGAAGACUAGACUAGGUGCCGGAUGUGGCCUUUCGCUUUGGAUCUCUCUUUCUGUAGCUUUGCUUUCUGGAUCGGGAUUUAAGUUGAAGCCGAAUUUUUAUCNNNNNNNNNNNNNNNNNNNNNNNNNNNNNNNNNNNNNNNNNNNNNNNNNNNNNNNNNNNNNNNNNNNNNNNNNNNNNNNNNNNNNNNNNNNNNNNNNNNNNNNNNNNNNNNNNNNNNNNNNNNNNNNNNNNNNNNNNNNNNNNNNNNNNNNNNNNNNNNNNNNNNNNNNNNNNNNNNNNNNNNNNNNNNNNNNNNNNNNNNNNNNNNNNNNNNNNNNNNNNNNNNNNNNNNNNNNNNNNNNNNNNNNNNNNNNNNNNNNNNNNNNNNNNNNNNNNNNNNNNNNNNNNNNNNNNNNNNGGGGGGGGGCUUUUUCUCGUUUGAGCAAUUUCUUGCCUUCUGGAUCUCGUUUUGUCUCGGACUCAUGUCCGUCGCUUUUCCCUCACGAGCUCCUCGCGAGCGGGACUGCGCGAAGCACGCGCACGCCAAGCGCGCGCUAGCACUGCAACUGGUGCUCACCUCUCGUGGGGCCCCUUCUAACAGGGCGACGAGCUCUGCAGGAUUCUGAGAAACUCGACGCCUCAGCUCAAAGCUGGCGCGGGCUAAGGUAAACCAUGACAGAAAACUCGCACCUGGAUUCACGAGUCCACAGGGACACAAACUCACACCGCAUAGGCAAGUAAAAACUGCAAUUUGCUUACAUGAGGGGCUCCCCCUCUCAAAAUGCUCUUACAAGUUUUCCAAGGGCCAAGCUCGAGUUUUGUGCGCAGGAUGAAAGAACAGGGAAACAAGGGAUCAGCCAGAAAUGUCGCUCGCUGCGUCACCCGAGGACGCGUCACUCGCAUCGUCAUCGCCCUUGUCGGCGUCAUCGCCGCCAUCGGCGACGCCCCCGUCGCCGUCGUCAACCACGUCGCCUUCGUCUGCGAUGACCACCACAGCGUCAUCCUCUGAAGUGAAGGCUCUGACCAACGUGUCCACAUUGUCCUCAACCCAACGCGCCAGGUCACCCCGGACAGCCGUGGGUACGGGGGCGAUGGCGGCGUCGAAAUCAAAGUUGGGGUCGGCAUUCAUGAGGUGGCUGAAGACGCGGGAGAAAGCGCGCUCAAGCAGGCCACGACCCCUUUCCUCCACAAGCUGGCGAGCACUGGCAGAUCGAGCCUCCAUGCACGUCACCACCUCGGUGAGGAAGGUCAGGUGGCUGGCAUAAUCAUUCGAGUGAGGGGCCGGCGCCUCCACGUCGCAAAUAUGGCCCAGGGCGAUAUUGGCCCUGUUCCGGAGAUCCUGAAGCAUAGGGGCAUGCUCGCGCUCCAACGUUCGUCGUUGGAGCACUUCCUCCGUGUUUUGCCGUGCGACGGACUCUGUGUCAUCAACCCACCUCCGGAGGGAACGCAGCUCAGCGUGGGCGGAGGCCAAGUCCGCCUGCGCCGUGACCAAGGCGGCGGACGUGGCUUCCACACGCCUCUCAGCCUCGUCCAACCUGGGCCUGAGGGCAGCAGCCAUGCCCUCAUCCUCCAUACCGGCUAGCUUCAGCUUCAGGUCGUACCUGCCCUCCAAGUCAGCGCGGACCCGGGCCACCUGGCGAUCAAUUUCCUCCUGGAUCCUGGCCUUGCGAGCCCCGAUGGCGUCCUCCGCCUGAGUGACUUGAUGCUCUCUCGUCUCCAGUUGCUCGAGCUCAAGGCUGCGCUCCACGGCUUCCAGGGCCAGCGCCUCCUCGCGAUUCCGGACCUCUUCUUCCUCCACGGGCGUCCCCCUCAGGGACGCAAGGGCGGCUCUGCGCGCCUCCACCUGCUGCUCAAGGGACGCGCUCCAGGCCUGGAGCUCCUACGCACGCUUCUCCACAGCCUCGCGGUGGCGAUCAGCCUCGCGAGCCUCUUCCAAAGCUCGUGAACGGGCUUCAUGGGAAACCUUGAGAGACGCCUCGGCCUCCACAUUCUCAAGGUCACGCUGAUAGCGGCCGAGGUUGAUGGCCACUUUCAGCUUGCGCGGCUCCUCCACCAACCGGAGACCUCCGGCCUCAAGACGCGCAUCGACACUCGCGAGCUCUUCACCAAGUCGACUCAUCGCGCCCAUCGCCUCCUGGAAGAGCUCGUGACGAACCACGCACCGCUCGCGCUCGAGCUCGAACGCUCGGCCCACCUCGUCCUCCACCUCGGGAGUUGCGGGCGUGGCGCCAAGUGGCGCGCCUCCUCCUGGCAGGGGGCUGGGGGCUGACGCCGCGCCCGGCAUCAGCCAGUCCUCAUGAGGAGCCCAAGCUGACCGGGGCUCGCUGCUGGGGGAGAAGCCGAAGAUCGAAGACAACUAAUUGUCGUCCAUGGCCAGAGGAGGAGUCUUGGGCACUCCUGCCAAGCUCCACGCCAGACCGUGGGGGAGGAGCUACAAAGCCUCGGGUCCGGCGCGCCAAGAGGGCAGGAGUGCCCCUUCAGCCAACCCUGCUCUAGGGGCAGCAAGCAAACUCGGAGCGCUCGAGGCUGGCGGAAGUGUUGAGGAAGGAGGAGGCCGUUUCUCAGGAGAUGUGGCGGCUUCGAUGGAAGGAGCCCUGAAAGACUGGCGUCAGGAGAAGAAGACAGCACGCAAUAAGCCAUGGCAGUGCGGCACUUACACGUCAAUGGCGAUAUACUUCCUUCGCUUCAACGGGCCGAAGAUAUUGCUGCCGCCAGGGGAUCCUUUCCUCUUGCAAAGCUCCUCGAAGUCCACACAAAGGCGACCGAAGCGCUGGACGUGACGACCGGUGCAUGGCGGGGGCGAAGAGGGGCUUGGAAGGAUGUCCUCGGGGGUGCCCGGUUGCGGCGAACGACCGGGCACCCUCUCACCACAGCCUCCCGAAGGUCCUGGAGCCUUGGCCUCGGGAACCGCAUGCCACGCCUCUUUAGCAACCGACGCCUCAGGAGGAGGGCCGCAGGCUCCCAAGGAAGACGCCCCAGGAUCACCGCUCGGCAGGUGCUCCUCAGCACCCGAGCCACCGGCCCCCGUUGGAGCUAGCCCACCUGCACCGUCACUUGGGGCGGGCUCGGCACCAGCGGCAAGGCAGGGAACCACGACGACGGGGUUCUCACGGGGCCCCACCAGGUCGAUCGGCCGUGGCCCCCACUCAUCAAAGGGAGGCAUGUUCUCUACAAACUCAUCCUUGUUCUUGCAGCGGUACAGCAAACAGUUCUUCCCAGGCAGUUCGGCCAGCAAGAGGACACCCGUCAGGACCUUGAGCACUGUUUGUCGCGUCCCGAGGAGGAGCCCAGACUCCUGAAACCUCAUGUGGUCCUGGCUGCUGAGCAAGGUCCACAUUGGGCGAGAAUGGCACUGAAGCAGAGCGACCCGGCAUUUGACGAAUUCCUUCACCACCAUCGACGCAGUUACGCCGCGAUCUUUCAGCAACCUCAACCUGAACCAGACGUUGGCAAGGCGGGGGCUCAUGAGCCGCUGAUGGCUCCAGCCGGAGUUAGGAACAGCGGGCCCCGACGGAGCCUGGAGCAGAGGACUGAGCACGCCGGCAUCGACGAACACCCAUCGUGUCCGGAAUUCGCUCGUGGAUGGAGGAAGCUCGAAGUCGAUCCCCUCGCCCGCCGUCACAGCCACGGCAUGUAAGCUCACGCAUCCUGAGCUUUGUUGAGGGUCGGUCAGAUGCAAUGAGAAGAAAUGGCGAAGGAGGGCAACAGAAGGGGCUAUGCCAGCCAUGGCUUCGCACACGAAGGCGAAGACGGCAAGAAGAGUCACAGACUGAGGGUCAAGAUGCAGCAUGUGGAUCUGAUAAUGCUCAAGCACCGCAUUGAAGAAGGCAGAGAAGGGAGGAAUCAGACCAGCCCAGAGGGCAUAUAUGAAGAUUGGGACUUCGGUGGCCGCCAGAGCCGUGCGAGUGCGAGACGCGGGCCAAGCCACCGUCUCCCCCCACUCGUUGAAGCUGGAAGCAAGCAUCGGACACACCUUGUCCAUGGCCUCUUCAUUGAGCACCCGAGACCGGCCGAGCGCAGGCACGAAGGAUGGAGGCGCAGCUGGCAGAGAUAGAGGUUUCUUCCCUUUUCAGCUUGUUUCGGCGCCAUGGCGAUGGGGCAGGCAGAGCGCAAGUCAGAUUGGAAGGGCGAAGCAGGGCCUCGAGGAAGUAGAGAGAUUGGAAGAGCCAGGCGUGGGCGAAGGAAGAAUAACUGUGUGAGAUGCGGGGGCGCAUAGCCAGACGGAUUCAAGGGCAGCGUGGGGAAGUGGAGACACCCACGUCCAAUCAACCGCCACGCGUCAACCGAGGCCGCAGGCUUUUGGGGCCCGCGGUGCUCCGAACUUGACCCUUGGCUUCACCGCGAAGCCAAGCCCGAGCACACCUUGGGCCCGGGGGCUACUGUUGGCGUUCUGGGAACGGGGGUCCCCAGACUUGCCUGCCUGCGGCCCAUGGCGUGGCCAAGCAAGCAGGCCGUACGGCCCAUCUUCAUCAACAAGGCAUCCAAGACCCUCGCAAGGGUCCAAGCCUCGCGAGGCAGACGACACAAGACUUCCUCAGGAGUGGCCUAGUCAGGCAGGCUCGCGAGGAGCGGAGAUAUCAAGGCGGGGAAAACCUCACGAGGUUCUCGUGACGUGAGCCAUGACGAACGGCACCAGGCGGGCGCCAGCGCGCGCAGCGUCCUUAUUUCCUCUUUGGUGCUAAGGAAGGCCAUCGCAGGCGAAGAGUACCGAGGCAUCAGGCAAAGGUUGCCAUAUCAGUGCAACGAGACCAAGACCAGGAGGACGGCGAGACGGAGGUCAUCGUGGAGCCCAAGACGGCGUCACCAUCACUAUAAUGAGAGCAAGCGUGAGGAGUUCCGCAAUCUUAAGCAAAGCAGCAUGUCCGUGUAUCAAUACAAUACUCAGUUUCAGAAACUCGCUCGCUUCGCUAAGCAAGACGUUCCUGAUGAAAAGAGCAUGAUCUAUCAAUUCAAAGGUGGUCUCACAGAAGAUCUGCAAUUACCUCUCGUGCUUUUUGAGCCGACCAAGUAUGAUUAUUUCUACAAUAUGGCACUGAAGCAAGAGGCUGCUCAGCUCAAGUGUGAGGCUUCUAAGAAGAGAGUCAGGGACGCAGUUCAGUCUUCUUCUUCCUCACUAGUGGCUGCUAAGCAACAGAAGUUCUGGUUGCCUCCUCCUCCUCCGUUUUGUCAGCCUUUCCAGCAGAAGAACAAAGGUGGCCAUGGAUCUUCCCACUCAUCCAACCCUGGCUAUCAGAACAAGUCUCAGAAUCAAGCUCCAAAGUCGAAUGCUCCUUAUCAUCGUCCACUCUCAGAGGUGACUUGCAACAAGUGUCAGCAGAAAGGUCACUAUGCUAACAAGUGCUUCAACCAAAGGUGUCUUCCGCCUCCUCCUCCUGUGAGAUCUUCCAACAAUGCAGUGGUCAAGCAUAAUCCCAAGUCUGCAAAGGUGAACAUGAUGAAUGCAGCUCAAGCAGAGGAAUCUACUGAUGUGAUAAUGGGUAAUCUCUCAGUUAAUGAUAUUCCUGCAAAAGUCUUAUUUGAUACUGGUGCAUCGCAUUCUUUCAUUUCAAGACCUUUUGUGGCUAUGAAUGAUUUGGUUACUCAAGUUUUGCCGAGUCCUAUGUCUAUUGUUUCCCCGGCUCGGCAAAUGACUUCUCGAGUAUUCGUUCGGGAUUCCGUUAUCAAGAUGGGCGACUAUAAAUUUCUGGCCAAACCAAUUGUUCUUGGUGACUCGGAUAUUGAUCUAAUUCUCGGGAUGUGUCGUGGAAUUGUCACGGCAGAUAUCCUAGUGUGAGGACUUAGUCGUGAGGCCAACGCAUCUUUGUAGUAGCUUGAGAGGGGUUGAGCGGAAUCGAGAGACGCAACACAAGACAAGGAUUUAGACAGCUUCGGGCCCCGGGAAACAUCAUCCGGUAAUAGCCCUACAUGUUGUUUGUGGCUAGAUCUCAUUAUACUCAUGAGAGAGUCGGCGCAUAAGCCGGCUCCCCCUUUGUGUCUAGCCCUAGAGAUUGUUUCUUGUUGCUUGUCCCUCUUUGGGGUGCCCUGCCCCUCCUUAUAUAAGUUAGAGGGGCGGGUUACAUGUGGAGUCCUAGUAGGACUAGGACUAGUCUAUCUUUUCUUACAAGUUGAAUACAAGUCCGGGUCUUGCUCCCUCGUAAAGGAAAUAUUCUUCAUCCCUUUCUCCUUAAGCCGGCCCACCAGAGUAUAAGCCAGCCUACUGGGCCUUGGGCCUUGUCGUCCGUCUGAUCCACCCGCCGGGUCUCCAGUGAGUCACAAUGUCCAGGCGGGUUACCUGUGAGAAUCGCCGUGUUCGGGCGGAUCACCAGUGAGUCGCCAAGCUCUAGCCAGGUCUCUAGUGAGUCGCCAAGUCUGGCCGGGUCAUACCGUGGGGUAUAUCCCCGACAUUAGCCCCCUGUUUAAUUUGGAUUUAUCCAUGUUAAACUGAUCCUGCAAAAUAACUCAAGAACAAAUUUGACAGGUUGUGUUCCGGGUUAAAUAUUCUUGUAAGCCGGCACCUGAUCAUCCUUAAGUCCUUGACAUUUUCUCCUGGAAUAUCCGGGUCAAUAGGCCAGCUUCAUAAUCCAUUUGCUGACAUUGGCUCUUUAUAAAGAAAUAUUAUACGAAAUAAUCCAUUUGAGUCGGUUUGCAAAACUCCGGCUUAAUAAACAUCUUAGACUCAAGAUUCAUCUGGUGAUCCGCCAGUUUAAAGAUGUAGAGGCUGGAUAGUUAUAAUUGCCAAAAUUACCGGCUUGUAAAUAUUGAUAACACCGGGUCAUAACUGUUGCCGACGCCGGGUCAUUAUUAUUGGUGACACCGGGUCAUGAUUGUUGCAAACACCGGGUCAAUCUGGUCUACUCCAAACUGAGAAUUUGAAGAUUUUUUUCUCCCUUAUAUGCAUAUCACCUAUAGCCCCCAAGUCUUAAGAGGAGAACAUAGUGAUAACUUAAGACUUGCUUCAAUAUAAGUGUUGCAACCUUGAAGAAAACCGGGUUAUUCAUCUCAAUCAUUAGUCAUAAACUGAAUAUUCCACAUAUGUAGCCCCCAAGUGCCGGGUUGUCAUGCUUGCAGCAAUUUGGGACUUGUAAUUGCCUUAUGCUCAUAAAAAACUUCAACCAGUGUAGCCCCCAAGGGCUGGGUCAUUAUGCAAUAAUGAGCAGGGACUUUGUAAAUAUAAUCAUGUAAACUGGACCAGCAAUGUGUAGCCCCCAAGGGCCGGGUCAGUAAUAUAUUACCGAGCUGGGACUUUGUAUAUGAUUCAUUGAUAAUAACAGCAUAUGAUGUAAUCUCCACCAUGGGGCUUGAAUCCACGUCCACAAGGUUAAGAGCUUUGUACUCUACCAACUAAGUAGUGGAUCUUUCAAUAUAAUGGAUUAAGGCUUGUGUACCUUGAAUUUUCAACAGGAGCAAUUGGUAGCCCCCAAGGGCCGGCUCAUUUAGAAUGUGAUGAGUCGGGUCUUCAAUAAGUUGAGCAAACAAUGACUUUGCAUUAGCCCCCAAGUGCCAUGGUACAUGCUGGCAGUAACAUGGGACUUGCAUAUUCGAUGUAAUAUCAAUUUGAAUAAUGUAGCCCCCAAGUGCCGGGUCGUAAGCCUGCAGCGACUCGGGACUAUUCCUUCCAUUGUAGAAUAAAUCAUAUCCAUUGAUAAAAUAAUAGCCAUUGCACCAAAGCGACUUUGAAUACCUCAUCUGUUGAUAAGUAAACCUGGAGUUUAAAUACCCGGUGGCUCUUGGCCGAUGGCAAUUUAAUACGCCUCCAUUGUAAGCCGGAAUUUUUAUAACCCGGCGGCUUAUAGCCUUUGAGAAAAUCAAGAAUUGAUAACCCUUUUGAGACACCAAUUUCAAUCUUUGAUGAUGGGCUUGAACUUAAUCAUUUAUGUAAGUCAUAGCUCUGUAAAUCCUGCAUAGAGUUUAAACAACAUAUGCCCUGGCGACUUAACGUCAAAAGCCAGGGCGGGUAACCAUCCAAAUGUAGUCUUAUCCUGCACACAAGUAGAUCACAAGAUCCCUUGGCGGUUUACCGCGGGGCGGGUCACAAUAUCUCACAUAUAACCACUGUGAUAUUGAAUUUGUACUGCCGGUUUACAUGACCUGUGCAGUAAGGGUGAUAACCCAAUCUUUAGAAGCCAACGCUUCCAAAUAGAUGAUGAUUGUCAUAAGCUGGCGAUUUAUCAUUGAAAAUCAAGCCGGGUUAAAUAGAAACCACUCAUAUACACUUUAGAUAUGAUCAAAAGAACUUCAAAUAAAAUCCAAAAAAUUGUUUGCAAAAAGACACUUCAAAAAUUUUGAGGCUUCUAAUUCGAAUACGAUCAGAAAACCAUCCCAAAGGGGUUAAGCUAAGAUUCGAAUACGAUCAUAUAGCCCCCAGUGGCUUUGGCGUUGCCGAUCAAGAAGGUACCGAAAGCUAUGUUCUCUUUGGUUCGCAUACGACCUAUGUUUGAACAGGAAGCCCCCAAAUGACCUUGAGAGUUGUUUAACGACGCUGAUUCGAAUACGAUCCACGUCGGUUCCCAAAAGGGGUUGAGCUAUGAUUCGAAUACGAUCAAGAAGCCCCCUAGUGAGCUCGGCAGUGUGCCGAUCAAGAGGGUACCGACAGCUAUGUUCUCUUUGGUUCGAAUACGACCUAUGUUUGAACAGGAAGCCCCCAAGUGACCAUAAUAAGAUAAGCUGUAAAGCGGGAUACCCAUGUUUGAACCGUGCAUCAUGGCAGCAAGCCCUUUUUGGCACCCUUUAAUCUUUCUGAGAACUCGAACUUGCGAGAGAUUAAUUCUUUUUAAACCGGAACCUUAAACCGGAUUUGAAAGUUUAAAACUUUGUGAGAGGUAAAUUUACCUUGAGCCGGAUUUUGAACCGGAUUUGAGAGCUUCAAAGCUUUGUGGUAAAUAAAAUUUCCUUGAACCGGAUUUUAAACCGGAUAUUAAACCGGAUAUUAAGAGCUUCAGUGCUUUGUGGGAGAGAGAUUGUCCUUGAACUGGAUUUUGAACCAGAAUCCUUAUUUUGAGCCGGAAAUCUUCUGACGGCCCUUAAAUUUUCAUCGAUCAAGCAGUAAUCCCCGGGGUCGGGUUAUUUUUCCCUUCAAUGACCCGGACUUCUUGAAUUCAUUGAAACCGGCUAACUUUGCCGAGUCAUAUAUACCAUUGUAGCCCCCGAGUCUCGGGACGACUCGAGGAGUUGGCUCGAGAUUCUCCAUAUUUGACCAUAGCAGAAGGUGUAUAUCAUUGGCGUUGAUAGCGCGAUGUGAAUCCACAGAAGGUUGAGGUGACUGCGGCGGGUUAUAAAUGAUCCCGUAUGAGCCGUGUCAGCAACUCGGCCAAUGGUUCCUUCCAACUGGCUGUUUGAAGUUAACCAAACCGUAGUGGCGGCGACUUGUGCACCUACCCAUUGAGCGAUCCCGUGGCUGGCGGUGGGCCGGCGCACGUUGAGGAUAAAUAUCUCAUGAGCUAGUGAGUAGCUGCAUUGAGCGAUCCCGUGGCUGAUGGUGGGCGCCAACUGUCGUGGAAUUGUCACGACAGAUGUCCUAGUGUGAGGACUUAGUCGUGAGGCCAACGCAUCUUUGUAGUAGCUUGAGAGGGGUUGAGCGGAAUCGAGAGACGCAACACAAGACAAGGAUUUAGACAGCUUCGGGCCCCGGGAAACAUCAUCCGGUAAUAGCCCUACAUGUUGUUUGUGGCUAGAUCUCAUUAUACUCAUGAGAGAGUCGGCGCAUAAGCCGGCUCCCCCUUUGUGUCUAGCCCUAGAGAUUGUUUCUUGUUGCUUGUCCCUCUUUGGGGUGCCCUGCCCCUCCUUAUAUAAGUUAGAGGGGCGGGUUACAUGCGGAGUCCUAGUAGGACAAGGACUAGUCUAUCUUUUCUUACAAGUUGAAUACAAGUCCGGGUCUUGCUCCCUCGUAAAGGAAAUAUUCGUCAUCCCUUUCUCCUUAAGCCGGCCCACCAGAGUAUAAGCCAGCCUACUGGGCCUUGGGCCUUGUCGUCCGUCUGAUCCACCCGCCGGGUCUCCAGUGAGUCACAAUGUCCAGGCGGGUUACCUGUGAUAAUCGCCGUGUUCGGGCGGAUCACCAGUGAGUCGCCAAGCUCUAGCAAGGUCUCUAGUGAGUCGCCAAGUCUGGCCGGGUCAUACCGUGGGGUAUAUCCCCGACAGGAUGGACUGGCUUUCUAAGCACAAGGCUCAACUUGAUUGUGCUGCCAGGGAAAUUCAAUUGACACACUCUUCUGAGGAUGUGAUUAUUUAUGCCGCUCGUGAUGAAACCAUUCGGUUGUUUUCUCUCAAUGAGAAGGGCGAGUUGAAUGCCAUCUCUCAGAUUCCAGUCGUUUUUGAGUACCAAGAUGUCUUUCCAGAAGAGCUUCCGGGUAUGCCUCCUCACCAGCCAGUUGAGUUCGUUAUCGAUCUUGAGCCUGGCACGGAACCCGUUUGCAAGUGUCCAUACAAGCUUGGACCCAAGGAGCUGAAGGAAUUGAAGAAACAGCUCGAUGAACAAGAGCGUCUGGGUCUGAUCUGACCGAGUUCAUCUCCAUGGGGUUGUGGUGUUGUUUUUGUCUAGAAGAAGGAUGGCACGGACCGACUUUGUGUCGACUACCGUCCAUUGAACAAGAAGACAAUCAAGAACAAGUAUCCACUUCCCAACAUCAAUGAGCUAUUCGAGCAACUCAAAGGUGCUAAAGUAUUCUCCAAGCUUGACCUUCGUAUGGGUUAUCAUCAGAUUCGCAUUCGUGAAGAAGAUAUUCCCAAGACAGCAUUCAAAACAAGCUUUGGUUCUUAUGAAUAUAUUGUCAUGUCUUUCGGCCUUGUCAAUGCUCCUCCAACAUUCUCUCGAAUGAUGAAUUUCAUCUUCAACCCCUAUACCAAUGAUUUCGUCCUGGUGUAUCUCGAUGAUAUCUUGGUCUUCUCCAAGAAUAAGAAGGAUCAUGCCAAACAUUUGCGAUUGGUGCUCGACAAGCUCAGAGAGUAUCAAUUUUAUGCAAAGUUUUCAAAAUGUGAGUUUUGGCUUGAUGAAGUUCUUUACCUUGGUCAUAUCAUCUCUGCCAAGGGCAUCGCUGUUAAUCCCGAGAAGGUGUCUACAAUUGUGAAUUGGGAACCUCCUCAGAAUGUCAACCAGCUUCGCAGUUUUCUUGGUCUUGCAAGCUAUUGCCGAAGAUUCGUUGAGAAUUUCUCCAAGAUUGCAAAGCCUCUUUCCAACCUCCUCCAGAAGCAUGUGAAGUAUGUCUGGACUCCUGAGUGUGACGUUACUUUCAACACUCUCAAAGAGAAACUCGUCACAGCUCCUGUCUUAACUCCUCCUGACGAAUCCAAGCCAUUUGAAGUUUUCUGUGAUGCUUCUCUUCAAGGUCUCGGUGCUGUGUUAAUGCAAGAGAAGAAAGUUGUGGCCUAUACCUCUCGUCAAUUGAAGCCCAAUGAAAAGAACUACCCCACUCAUGAUCUUGAGUUGGCGGCAGUUGUCCAUGCAUUAAUAACGUGGAGACAUCUCUUGUUGGGAAGAAAAGUGGACAUAUUCACCGAUCACAAGAGUCUCAAGUACAUCUUCACUCAGCCCAACCUCAACCUCAGGCAAACUCGAUGGGUCGAAAUGAUUCAAGAGUACAAUCCGAGUAUUGAAUAUACUCCAGGAAAAGCCAAUGUCAUCGCAGAUGCUUUGAGCAGAAAGGCUUAUUGCAACAGCUUAAUUCUCAAGCCAUUCCAACCGGAUCUUUGUGAAGCUUUCCGCAAGCUGAAUCUCCAAGUUGUUCCUCAAGGCUUUCUUGCCAACCUCAUAGUCUCUCCUACUUUGGAAGAUCAAAUUCGUGAGGCGCAACUUCUUGAUGACAUGGUGAAGAAGGUGAAACGUGGUAUCGACAAGGGUCUUUCCAAAUACAAGUGCUAUCGCAUUAAUGACAGAGACACUUUAUUCUUCGAGGACCGGAUUGUGGUUCCUAAAGGUGAUCUAAGGAAACUCAUUAUGAAUGAGGCACACAAUUCUCUUCUUUCCAUUCAUCCUGGAAGUACGAAGAUGUACCAUGACCUCAAGCAGUCGUAUUGGUGGACUCGAAUGAAGCGAGAAAUCACGAAAUUCGUGAACGAAUGUGACGUCUGUCGAAGGGUGAAAGCAGAACACCAACGACCAGCUGGUCUCCUCCAACCUCUUGCUAUCCCAGAAUGGAAGUUUGAUCAUAUCGAAAUGGACUUCAUGACUGGAUUUCCAAAGUCCAAGCGUGGAAAUGAUGCUAUCUUCGUUAUCAUUGACAAGCUUACUAAAGUGGCUCAUUUCCUUCCAAUCAAAGAAUCUAUCACAGCAGCUCAGUUGGCAGAGCUAUACACCUCCAGGAUUGUCUCCUUGCACGGCAUUCCACAAUUGAUAUCUUCAGAUCGUGGAAGCAUCUUCACUUCUAAGUUCUGGGACUCCUUCCAGAAGGCCAUGGGCACAAACAUUCGCUUCAGCACAGCUUUCCAUCCUCAAACUAGUGGCCAAGUCGAGCGGGUAAAUCAAAUUCUUGAAGAUAUGCUCAAGGCUUGUGUCAUUUCCUUUGGCAUGAAGUGGGAAGAUUGUCUUCCAUAUGCCGAAUUCUCCUACAACAACAGCUUCCAAGCGAGUUCGGGCAAGGCCCCAUUUGAGAUUCUAUAUGGCAGAAAGUGUCGUACUCCUCUCAAUUGGUCAGAGACUGGUGAACGCCAACUUCUUGGAAAUGACUUAAUCACAGAGGCUGAAGAAAUGUGUAAAGUCAUCCGUGAAAAUCUCAAAGCCGCGCAAUCGCGCCAAAAGAGUUACUAUGAUAGCAAGCACCGUGAUGUGGCUUUCGAGAUCGGAGACCAUGUCUACCUCCGCGUCUCUCCAAUGAAAGGCACUCGUCGCUUCGGUAUCAAAGGGAAGCUUGCCCCUAGAUACGUGGGUCCUUUCAAGAUCAUUGGAAAAAGAGGCGACCUCGCCUAUCAACUUGAGCUUCCCUCCAACUUCGCGAACGUGCACGAUGUGUUCCAUGUGUCACAGCUUCGCAAGUGCUUCAAGACUCCUGAGCGCACCAUCAACUUCGAAGAGAUUGACCUCCAAGAAGACCUAUCUUAUCAUGAGCACCCCGUUGCUAUUCUUGAAGAAACUGAGCGCAAGACUCGCAACAAGUCUAUCAAAUUCCUGAAAGUGAAGUGGUCGCACCAUUCCGACCGAGAAGCCACCUGGGAGCGCGAGGACCACCUCCGUUCCGAAUAUCCGGAGUUCUUUCAGUCCUAGAUCUCGGGGCAAGAUCCUCUCGUACUUGUGGAGUGUUGUAACAGCCCGGAUGUAACUUUCCAUAUUUGUAACUCCAACUCUUGCCAUUUUCGGCUAUGUGUUAUGAUAUUCCCUUCGUGGUCGGGUUUUGUUUUUCGUUUUGCAUUUUGUUCAUGUCAUGCAUCUCAUAUCAUGUCAUCAUGUGCAUCUCAUUUGCAUACGUGUUCGUCCCAUGCAUCCGAGCAUUUUCCCCGUUGUCCGUUUUGCAAUCCGGCACUCCCACAUGCACCGGCGCACCCCUCUUGUUUCUUUUCGUGAGCGGGUGUUGAACGUUCUCGGAAUGGACCGAGUCUUGUCAAGUGGCCUUGGUACACCACCGGUAGACCACUUGUCAAGUUUCGUUCCAUUUGGAGGUCGUUUGAUGCUCCAACGGUUAACCGCAAAGCCCUUUUGUGUGUUGCAGCAAAACCCCCCUCCAAACAGCCCAAAACCCCUCUAAGUCACUUCCAUGCUCUAGGUCGUUCGAUCACGAUCGUGUGGGCGAAAACCGCACUCCAUUUGGAGUCUCCUAGCCCCCUCUACCUAUAAAAACACCUCCCCCUCCGAAAUUUUCGCAGAUCAAACCCUAGCCCCACUCCCUCCGCGCGCCGGACACGUCCGCCCGGCGCCGGACGAAACCCGCCGCCGCGCCCGUCCAACCAGGGGCCNNNNNNNNNNNNNNNNNNNNNNNNNNNNNNNNNNNNNNNNNNNNNNNNNNNNNNNNNNNNNNNNNNNNNNNNNNNNNNNNNNNNNNNNNNNNNNNNNNNNNNNNNNNNNNNNNNNNNNNNNNNNNNNNNNNNNNNNNNNNNNNNNNNNNNNNNNNNNNNNNNNNNNNNNNNNNNNNNNNNNNNNNNNNNNNNNNNNNNNNNNNNNNNNNNNNNNNNNNNNNNNNNNNNNNNNNNNNNNNNNNNNNNNNNNNNNNNNNNNNNNNNNNNNNNNNNNNNNNNNNNNNNNNNNNNNNNNNNNNNNNNNNNNNNNNNNNNNNNNNNNNNNNNNNNNNNNNNNNNNNNNNNNNNNNNNNNNNNNNNNNNNNNNNNNNNNNNNNNNNNNNNNNNNNNNNNNNNNNNNNNNNNNNNNNNNNNNNNNNNNNNNNNNNNNNNNNNNNNNNNNNNNNNNNNNNNNNNNNNNNNNNNNNNNNNNNNNNNNNNNNNNNNNNNNNNNNNNNNNNNNNNNNNNNNNNNNNNNNNNNNNNNNNNNNNNNNNNNNNNNNNNNNNNNNNNNNNNNNNNNNNNNNNNNNNNNNNNNNNNNNNNNNNNNNNNNNNNNNNNNNNNNNNNNNNNNNNNNNNNNNNNNNNNNNNNNNNNNNNNNNNNNNNNNNNNNNNNNNNNNNNNNNNNNNNNNNNNNNNNNNNNNNNNNNNNNNNNNNNNNNNNNNNNNNNNNNNNNNNNNNNNNNNNNNNNNNNNNNNNNNNNNNNNNNNNNNNNNNNNNNNNNNNNNNNNNNNNNNNNNNNNNNNNNNAUUCUCGAAGUCCCAAGAAUUUUUGCAUUAUAUGCUCCUGUUCGUCGCCUAAUAACUAUCUGCAUACUGCUCCGUUUUCCGUGCAUGAUAUAUCGAAAUGUUCGUCUCGAGAUGCUCUUCAUUUUGUUCCAUUAUGAAAUGUUCAUUUGAGUCCAUCUUGAUGCCCAAAUCUCUGGUGCAAGAGUGCUAUAUGCUGUUACCUGCUGUUACUUAUCAAAACUUGGUGAUUUGUUAUUUUUGUUGCAAUUGAUGUGUGCAUCUUAUGAGUAUGAGCUCUACAUGUGUUUUGAUCUAUGCCAUGCCAUCUUUACAGGGGUGUAUGCCAUGUAUUUUUGUGAUCUCUGUGGUGACUAGCACAAGCAUGCAAACUAGGCUUCGUGAUGUUUCUGUUUUCAGGGACUUAGUAUUUUCACCGUCUGUUACUGCUGUUAUUUUGUUGCUAUGUAUCCAUGUGUCUACAGUGAGAUUCGUGCUCCUUUUGGUGAUGUUCAGUAAGGAUGUUUUGUAGAUAUAGUUGUGUUCUAUCCAUCCAUGCCCCUGUUUGCAAUUAUGGAGUGCCCUAGCAUGACACAAACUUGCUCUACUUUUGCUAUAAAAUAUUUAUGGCAGAUUGUUAACAUGAUAUUCAAUUUUGCCAAGGUUGUUGUAGUUGAUCCAUACAGGCUAUGUAUUUGUUCUUGCCAUGGAUAGAUUCUCAAACAUGCCAUCUUGCUGUAGGUAUGCUUGUUUUGUCAUGCAUUGCUUUUUGGUGAGUGAAUCAAGCUCAUCAAGAUGCCUUCAUAAUUUUGUUUACUGCCAUGCUCUGUUUUCUACUGUCUGAAACCUGAUAACAAAACUUGCUAUGUUUACAUGGUUGCCAUCAUAUCUUCUGAUCCUUUUUGGCUCAUGGUCAGUAAGGGACUUUUGUUCUAUGCAGUUAGUAGAUUCAUGCCAUGCCUUGUUUUGCUAUGUUAAGUUCCUGUAGCAUGUUUUGUGCUUGCUCUGAACAUUGCUACCUGAUGCUGUUUCAGCCAUGUCCAGUAAUUUCACCAAGUCUGUGAACCUGAUAUCUUUUGCACUUUUUCCAUGCUUGUUUGAACCUGCUGUGGUGUGAUCUAGCCGUAGCUCAGUGUUCCUCUUUUGUCAAGCAUCUCCUGUAGAUUACUGUCAUAUGCUUUGUUCCUAUGUUGGAGUGCUUUAGCAUAGUUUCUUGAUGUAUUCUAAGUGCUAUCCUGUUGUUAAUCGCAGAUUUAUGUCAUUCUUGUUUUGCUUGCCAUUUGCAAACCGUGCAUCCGUUUCCGGUGAUAUUUAUAUCGAUUUCGACCGAAAUCAUCUCAUCUUUCCAGUGGCAUGCUUGGUUUGCCAAGUUACUGCCUUGUUGAUCAUUUUCUUCCGGAGCACGCAUAUGCAUCGCAUAUCACAUCUUGCAUAUCAUUCAUGUAUUGCAUCAUGUUGCUUGUGCAUUUCCCGUUAUUGAUUGUGGUUCCAUUGCUUGUGUUCUUGCUGUGGGUAGAGCCGCGAGACGAGUUCGUGAACGAGGAACCUGUUGAGUACGCUUACGAGGAUCAAGCUUUCGACAACUCUCAGAACCUUGCAGGCAAGAUGACCAUACCCUCGAUAUCACUUCUAUCUUUGCUUUGCUAGUUGUUCGUUCUAUUGCCAUGCUGCGCUACCUACCACUUGCUAUAUCAUGCCUCCCAUAUUGCCAUGUCAAGCCUCUAACCAUCCUUUCCUAGCAAACCGUUGUUUGGCUAAGUUACCGCUUUUGCUCAGCCCUUCUUAUAGCGUUGCUAGUUGCAGGUGAAGUUGAAGUUGGUUCCAUGUUGGAACAUGGAUAUUUUGGAAUAUCACAAUAUCUCUUAUUUAAUUAAUGCAUCUAUAUAUUUGGUAAAGGGUGGAAGGCUCGGCCUUAUGCCUGGUGUUUUGUUCCACUCUUGCCGCCCUAGUUUCCGUCAUACCGGUAUUAUGUUCCUUGAGUUUGCGUUCCUUACGCGGUUGGGUGAUUUAUGGGAUCCCCUUGACAGUUCGCCUUGAAUAAAACUCCUCCAGCAAGGCCCAACCUUGGUUUUACCAUUUGCCACCUAAGCCUUUUUCCCUCGGGUUUUCGCGAGCCCGAGGGUCAUCUUUAUUUAAACCCCCGGGCCAGUGUUCUUUUGAGUGCUGGUGCAAACUAGAGCCCUUUGCAGCGCCACCUCGGGGAAACUUGAGGCCUGGUUUUAGUUGUACGGACUGCUCAUCCGGUGUGCUCUGAGAACGAGAUAUGUGUAGCUCCUAUCGGGAUUUGUCGGCACAUUCGGGCGGCUUUGCUGGUUUUGUUUUACCAUUGUCGAAAUGUCUUGUAAACCGCGAGACUGAUCGGGUCUUUUCGGGAGAAGGUUUAUCCUUCGUUGACCGUGAGAGCUUAUAAUGGGCUAAGUUGGGACACCCCUGCAGGGUAUCAUCUUUCGAAAGCCGUGCCCGCGGUUAUGAGGCAGAUGGGAAUUUGUUAAUGUCUAGUUGUAAAGAACUUGUCACUUGACCCAAGUAAAAUACAUCAACCGUGUGUGUAGCCGUGAUGGUCUCUUCUCGGCAGAGUCUGGGAAGUGAAUACGGUUUGAGUUAUGCAUGAACGUAAGUAGUUUCAGGAUCACUUCUUGAUCUUUUCUAGCUUCGCGACCGUUGCGUUGCUUCUCUUCUCGCUCUCACUUGCGUAUGUUAGCCACCAUUUAUGCUUAGUGCCUGCUGCAGCUCCACCUCAUUACACCUUUCCUAUAAGCUUAAAUAGUCUUGAUCUCGCGGGUGUGAGAUUGCUGAGUCCUGGUGACUCACAGAUUCUACCAAAACAGUUGCAGGUGCCGAUGAUGCCAGUGCAGAUGACGCAACCGAGCUCAAGUGGGAGUUCGACGAGGAACGUGGUCGUUACUAUGUUUCUUUUCCUGAUGAUCAGUAGUGGAGCCCAGUUGGGACGAUCGGGGAUCUAACAUGUGGGGUUAUCUUAUUUUCAUUUGGAUUUGACCAUAGUCGGUCUAUGUGUGGAUUUUGGAUGAUGUAUGAUAUAAUUUAUGUAUUGUGUGAAGUGGCGAUUGUAAGUCAACUCUCGUUAUCCCAUUCUUGUUCAUUACAUGGGAUUGAAGAUGACCCUUCUUGCGACAAAACCAGAAUGCGGUUAUGCCUCUAAGUCGUGCCUCGACACGUGGGAGAUAUAGCCGCAUCGUGGGCGUUACAAGUUGGUAAUCAGAGCCAUCCCCGACUUAGGAGCCCCUGCUUGAUCGAAUCGCUGGCGUUGUUGAGUAUAGAACAAAAAUGUUUUGAGUCUUAGGAUUAUAUAUAUCGGAGAGUAGGAUUCUUUUUACUCCUCAGUCCCAUCGUCGCUCUGGUGAGGUCUCCUGACGUAGAAGUUUUGACUCUUCUCUUCUCAAAUUUCACUAAAAAAAAAUUAGGAUCACGCGGGUAUCUUAGAAUCAUUCCGAUGGUUUUGUGACGAGAACAUUGUUCUUGGUGCCUCCUGACAUUUAGGGGUUGUGGCAGUGUCCCGAGGAGUUGAGCUCCGAGGUGUUGUCGUCACAAUUUUAUCGUUGCAGUUCUGGAAUACCUGAGUUUCGCCGACAUCGAAAAUCUCUUUUAUGCAGUUGUUGGUGAGAUCACCUCGACGCCACCCAGUACUGGGGCGGGAGUUCGGGAGUAUUGCCAUAACUCGUAUAACGGAUGCUUUUCGAAGGUUGAGGUACACGAUUUCCGAAGGUUUCUUGGUUAUGUGUUGACGGAUGGAUACAGCUGGAUCUAGGGAUUGCUAGUUUGGGUGAUAUAUUUUGUGUCCCCUGUAUCCCCAACACCAGAUUGCAUAACCAGAAAGUUUCGAGAGUUUAUAGGUGGGAUUCAAGUAGCUCUUAGCAUUUCUUCCCGCAGAUAUUUGGUUUGUGAUUGGGUAAUCCUUACCACUUAUUUGCUCCACUCGUACCUUUUUAUUUUAUUCAUCAAUCUCUUAUCAAGUGGCUUCCCACCUUAAUGGAAGUGUGAUAAUUUACUAUGAAAUUCAUUCGUUCAUCCUCGUUCGAAUGUUUAUUGUGAAGACUAUAUGUUGCAAUUUCUAUCCGUUGAUUCAAUUUGCCUAUCUGUCUAUCAAGAUGCUAACGGAUGUCACCCUCUUCAGGAUAGCUCCGCCAACGCGUCAGAAUCCGGAACGCAAUGAAAGGAGUCAGGCGAACCCUCUGCCACCACCUCCGCCUCUGGAGGCAUGGCAAGCUAUCAUGGCAGCCGCCAACGCCAAUGCUCAGAUGAUUUUGCAACUCUUGCAAGAACGCACCCAAGAGCAAGUCAUGCCUCGACACAUGAGAGAUAUAGCCGCAUCGUGGGCGUUACACAACGGUAGCCUCUCAAUGUCUGGAUAAAACAACGCAAGCAUACGAGACAGGAAAAUUUGGUACGGGUAAUCAUUAGUACUGACUACUGGUGCCUAGCUUUCAAUUACAACAAGGUAGACUAGAACCAGUUUAGCAACUAAACUGAAG
RNAcentral lists this long non-coding RNA (63789 nucleotides) under Triticum aestivum (bread wheat). RNAcentral describes it as "long non-coding RNA (TAES_LNC017593)". The record is from RNAcentral. Lineage: Eukaryota; Viridiplantae; Streptophyta; Magnoliopsida; Poales; Poaceae.